AUCCCGCAGGUACAACUCGAAGUAGACACCGACAGGCCGGCCUUCCUCCGAUCUACACCUCCACUCUAUCUCUCUCAAUCUAGUAGAAACUAGAAGAUCUAUUUCUACUUUACAUUGGAUGCUAAGCCUAAAAAGAAAUAUUAUUUAGAGAAGAGGUUUUCCUUCGAGGGCACCCCUCAAUCUCUAUGAUAACUUCUUGUCUCCUCCAGGGGCCAGGGGGGUCUCCUUAUAUAGUCCUCCUCCUCUAUGCGUUUUUGGGUCGGUAGGCGAGGUGGUACUACGUUAUCCUUGAUCCAAUAGGUCGGUGGAACAUCGUGUGCGAAGAGAGUCCCGAACGGAGUCCAGGACAGGGCGGGCGCCCAGGGAAAGAGGGCGGGCGCCCUGGGCCUGGCCCCUUUCGGCCUCUGCUUUCUUCCCGUGGCUUCUGGAGUCUUCUAGAUGGUAGAAAAUUGUGCGGUGCGUUGAUAUCUCUAUGUAAUCCCGACAUGUGGGCCUUUCUUCCUUAUUUCCUGAUAUCCCCCUGCAGAAAUAGACAAACACCAAAACUCAUGGAAUUCUGUCAGAUAAAACCCUAAGUGUAGGUGUUGGUUGCAUUUGGAUCCUUUUCUUUAUUUAUUUGAUGAUUAAAUUUGGUACUUAAGGACCGUCAACAACUCCCCCAAGCUUACCUCUUGCUCGUUCCUGAGCAAGGAUGAACUCAAGAGUUUCUGCAGUGGUUUUAUGCCUUAAAAGUACACACGCAUUCAAACAAGAUCUCAUCUCUGAGUUAGAAUAAACUGUUAAGACUUAAAACUUACUCAUUUUACCUUUCACCAUGGGGCUUGUAACCGUCACUUGUGUCUUGAGCAGUUAAAAGAUAGAACGGUCAAGUCAAGCGCCAUGUCUCUUAUUCUUGAUCAGCUAUAGCUCUAGAGUUUUUGCAGAUUUUCAAAUAAAACUCAGAGAUUCCUUAUAUGAUUCUCUCAAAUCUCUAUUUUGUGGUAUUUCUGGAUCCUUACCAAGGCAGUAAUGGUAUAUGCCUUCUCUCAAAGUAUGUGGUAUUUUUGGUAUGAGGCAUAGUGAUAUUGCCUUCUCUCUGACCCUAUUCUAAUAAGGUUUUGAUAUCUGGAGCUCAUAGGUGGGAGACAGCUAAUAUAUACUUACAAGACAUUUAUUGCAUAGUCAAACCAUGGAUCUAGAGAAACAAGUCAAUAAGUAAAAUCAAGAUGUGCAUGUGUGGCGAAUGAAUGGUGUAUGGUGAUGAUGGUGAUAACAAUGGUGAAAGUCUAAUUCUACUUUUGCUCUUUUGAGGGGAUACAUACCUUUCUUGCACUUUGAAGUUUUUUGAGGAGAAUUAGAUGCUCUAUAUUUUCUUUUUCUUUCCUCUCAGGUGGGUAGCUUUGUACCCCUAAUUCUACUGUCGGACACUUGUCCAUUUUUACCUCUCGUCUCACUUUUUAUUUUCUUUCGAGGUUCCGGGCACUUGCCCCUUUUUAUUUUCUCGUAUUUUUUCUCUUUUUUUUCUUUUCUUUUUUUACUAGAGCACUCAUCUCCUGAAAUAAUGUAGCAAGUGGUAGUAACCAAAAUAACUCGAGCAUUUAUUCCACAGGGAAAAACAGAAAUAUUUUUGGCCAUUCUUUCCUGGAUUAGGAGUAGAAUGUUUUUGGGUGGUUCUGGAGAUGGAAAUGAGUGGAUAUAUGUGGAUGGUACUUCCGGAGUAGAAGUAGCAUGUAUGAGUGAACAUGCAAGUGAAUCUUGAUUUGAACUACAUGACAAGCUCCUAAGGGUCUACACAGCUUGACCAUACUCAAUGCUCAUAAGCAGUAAAAAGUAAAUGUGUGGCUCAAAGUCUAGCAAGCAUGUAUAUAUGGCUGUGGUAGGAAUUUAAACUCUCAUCAUAUAGGAACUCAUCAUGUGUUAUUUUAAAGAUUUUCAAAGAUAAAAUUCUCUAGAAUUCUAGCAUCUCUAGGAACAGAUAAACAGCAGCUCAACCUUCCCAUAUCAUAUCUGUUAACAACUUAGACUUUAGAUCAAGUACUCUUCCCACAAGUUUAGGUUUAGAGCAGGUUUAAAUUAUAACAGUUAUGCCUAAACUUGAGAGAGAUUUCAAUUUUAAGAACUAGUCAUGGCAGAGUAACUAUUUAUCAUUUCCAUGUGAGAGCUUAUCAUGAGGGUUCAUAGCAAACUUUAUUUAUUUAUUUAUUUAGCAAACUAAGCAAAGAUAUAUAUAAAAGCACAAAAUCUUUAUUUGGGUUUUCAUGAUUAUGCAUCUUUUAUUAUUUAAGUAAAGUAUAAACGCGAGUAGAAACACUUAGCUGGAUAAAUGGGGGUGCUCUCCCCCAAGUUAGAUUUUGACGUAAUUUCUUGUGAUGUAGCUAGCAGGUGGUGGAGGUGUAUUUGAAAGUCGGCAGCACCCUGACAGCAAUUAGGAUGUCCUCCGUCUGCUAGUCUUCUUUGAUCCUUGAAUUCUGUGGAGCUCAAAUAGACAACAAAGCUUUGUGGAACUGGUUAAGUGUUAGCAUAAAUAUCUAGCCUUUAUCAUGUUGAGCCUCCUCAAUAAAUAUUACUUAUUUAGCAGGAUCAUGCACUUAUUAUUUUUAUAUUUUUAUUGUAAGAUGAAAACUUAUUUAUUUUAUUUUUAUGCCACCACAGUGAAUGUACUUAUGGGUUUUAUGCCAUGAGCAUACUCACAUGGGGCUUACUAUUUUUUUAACAUUUUUAUUUUCUUUUCAAGAUAGCAUGAACCUGAUUAACUAAGCAAACUAUUGAAUGGAAAAGGAUAACUACCAAGUUUACCUCUUGGCAAGGCGUUCGGUGUUUUUAAGUCCUCUGAAUGGGACUCUCCGUUUUUAGUCGUCCUAGGAUUCGCUGGAUGGCGUAGUCGGUGGUUCCGGUGGUGCCUCCUCUUCGUGUAUAACUAUCUUCUCUUUCCACACCUGACUCGGUGCUACAGUCUCCUCAGGACAGUUCUGUUCAAGCUGUAUGUCUUCACACCUUACCACUUCUCCUUUGUAGUCUGCCCAUCCGUCCUUGAUGAUUUGCCUCCUCUGGUUGCUGUUGCGUUGUCUUCUUGUUGUCCUGACCUCCUUAGAGUUUUCAACUAUAUAGUUAGGGUCAGUAAAACAGCGGCAUACCUUCUCAGAGGAGAAGUGUAUGUGGACUUCUCUGAUUCCGAUAUAGAUGAUGGCUUUGAUAGUGUUGAGGAACGGUCUUCCAAGGAUGAUGGGUGGAUCGUACUUGUCUUCUCCCAUGUCAAUGAUCUGAAAAUCAUCUGGAGCUGAAUAUAUCUUGGUUGUAGGAGCAUGGUUCCAUGCAGUAGCUGAUAAGUGACUGCGGCCAUUAUGUUGUCGUCAGAUCCGGUGUCGUAGAGUGUCUUCUAAAAAGAGUAUCCAUUGAUUAUGCACUCGAUGCUUGGAACACCAGGGUCGUCCUUCUUGAUCAGGAAAGGCGACUUGAGUCGACAAUCUUGACCUUCUCUGACAAGGAUCCAAUGUUUUAAGUCUUCUGGACAAGACUUCUCAGCGUGUUCACCCUUUAGGUGCAUCAUUUGAUUAGGUGUGGGUCUUGACAUCAAGUGCAUGGGCCCUGUUGGUGGAAAACACCAACAGAACCAAAAAGUGUAUUUCUCUAACCUUAAGCAUAGUGAGCAAGACAAAGUUGAUGGAUCAUGAGUGUAGCAUUUGUCAGAUCAGAUGGCUUAUCCUAAUGGAAAGAUAAUCUAUCUAUAUUUAUGUUUUGUUUAUAUCUUCCAAAGAUUGAAUGUGCAAUAUAUUAGCUUAUAUGGUUAGGACUGUGAGAUCAUGAAGGUAGUACUAAGAACAAAGACUAAAGGACUAAACAUGUUGAAUUAAUUGAGUUGGUUAAUUUGGAGUUAUAAAUCAUACAUGUUUGUCUCUUUAUUUUAUGUGAACACCAGAACCAAAGAGAAGCUUAUAAAAGCAAUAGUCAAGUACCUUAAGAUGUUACCUUACUUGAAGAGUGAUGGAAUAGUAUCACCUUGUGGAAGCUUUCCUUUUCUUAGCGGUUGUGCAUCGUGUUUGUGGCACCCUCCAUGAAUUAUCUCUUAUGAGCUACGUCUUUCUUGUGCAAAUUGUUAAACUUCAUGUGUCACUUUCUUCAUCUCCAAUGUGAGUUUAUCUCAGGACUUCCCAGGUUGAUAUUGAAAGUUUUCCUGCAGGGGUUAGUCCCACAAAAUAUACCAAUAUCUACUCAAGCAGUUUUUAGUUCAGUAACCAAACUAGACUCCAUGUCUAAUCAGAUUAAGGAAGGCUAUUUAACCUAAGCACCAUGCUUAAUUUAAAUGCCAAUGGAAGUAUGUCGAGUACUUCCAAACCAACACUUACUAGGAUAAACAAAGGUAGCAUGAUGGCAUUUAUAGAGAUCUACUCAAGUGGAGAUGAAGUAGUGUGAUUAGUGUUUAACAAAUUGAGCAUGUCUCAAAGGUAAGGACAACCAACAUAGCAACAUGGAAAAUGAUGUUUUUAUGUAAAGUACUCCCCCAAGCUUGAAUUUUGCGAAAUUCAAGUUUGGAUGAAUUUAAUUCAAUGUUGUAUGAUGGUUGGUUGGACAUACCUUGUGCUUGUCAUUCAUCCAAUCUUCUUGCUCCAAUCCUGGAAAGGUUAGUGGCAAGAAUACCCGAAGGAAUAUUUCUACAAUUAUCUCAAUAUGCUCAAUAAUGUUGCAAAUAAUUAGAAGUUCAUGAUCAGUGCUUGUUUUAGGACACUAAGCUUUGGGAAACCAUCAAUUUAUGUCAGCGAAGUGGUUUCCCCUCCAACGCUGACCUAUAUCAAGAUCAACUCAACGAGAUCUGCAAUAUUUAUUAUAGACAUAUGCAUCGACAACCGCCCUUUUAAAGUUUUUAUAAAUAGAAAAGAAGAGGGGGUUGGAGAUCUCAAAUGUGGUGAUGUUGGAGAGACCAAUUGAUUGGGGAGAUGUUUUAUAUGAGCAAGGACUCGGUGAGGUAUUUAUGAAAUAACUUCCAUGCUCACUGUUGUUCUCUCAUUCUCAAACUCAAAGGAUGAUUCUUCACGAAUGCUUAAAAUUCCUCUAGGACUGAUAGCACAUAGAUUUUUAAUGCCCUCUAGCCAUUGAUGUUGCUCUUCUCUAUCCUCCUUCUUAUGCAUGGGAUGUCUAGAGAGAUUCAUAGGAUUAUCGGGAGGUUCAAGAGAAAGAGCAUAGUAGAAACUAUUAAGCUCAAGGAUGGGAUGGAUAGCCGAAUCAUGGGAUUGAAAUGUUUGGAAAUUGGCUAUUGAAACUUCCUUUCCUUGCCUGGGAGAUGAUUCCUUCUCUAUCUCUAAGAAUUUUUUAUGAAGACUAGUACAAGAAGGAUGUCCACGAAUGAAGACAUACCUUGCUUUACUAACAGAUAAAGAAAGAAAAACUCUACCAAUGGUUAUAUAAUUAAGACCAAUGUGAAAAUAUCGAGAAAAAACAUGGUCUUGUAGGGCUAGGUCUGAACCAGAAUUUAUAGAAAGAUUAACAGAUUCCCUAGGUGUAGCUAAAAGUGCAUUAUCUUCUUGAUUAAAAGAUAGAACCACAGCUAUAGAAAAGGGUUGGUUUUGACCUAUUGCAAUCAACUCCGGGCACACAUCAUAAUUAGGGGCAGGACUUGUUGACUCCCAUGGUCUAUGGCUGAUCUCCGAAGGUGCAAAGAAUUCAAUAAUAGGUAUGGAAUUUAAGUUAUCCAUAAAGAUAAAAAGAUAAAAGAAUAAAAGUAUAAAAGUAUAAUACAAGAUAAUAGCAAGACUCAAAGUUAUCUCAGAAAACCGUCUUUCUCCCCGGCAACGGCGCCAGAAAUGCUUGUUGAUAUUUGGUAACGCAAUAAGGAAAUGAUCCGCAAGCGCACGGAUAUCGGUGAGCAUUUCACCCGGGAGGUUAUCCAGAGUUAUCGUAUUUUAUAUUUUUACCACUGGGAGAAAGGGUGCAUCUGACUAACCAAAUCUAUUGCUACUACCCCUUUAGGCUACAAAUAAUGUUUCUCGAUGUGAGCGAUGUAUAGAGAAGACUGCAACCGUAGUCUCGUUCUAUCCUUGGUAAGGAUGAUUUACUGUUCUAUUGGGGAAGCUUACGGAAUCUAGACACCACAAAGGAUGUUCGACCCGCACCUAUAAACCUACCCGUCCUGCUAACAAGAUAUGGGAUACAAAGGUAACUCGGAAAUGUCACGUUCCUCGCUACUACCACGGUCCAGCUAGUCAGGGGAUAUCUAUGAGUACCCUAGCCUAAACACCACGUUUACGCUAGCAAUGAUUACUCUAAUACUCAACCGGAAGAGGAUUAAAGUAAAAUCAUAAACCAAAGAACAAUAAAAAAAGAACAUACUAGAAUUAGAAGUCGAAUUACUGAAGAAUCUUAGAAGCAAGCCUCGGGUUAGGAGACUUGAUCCCGCAGGUACAACUCGAAGUAGACACCGACAGGCCGGCCUUCCUCUGAUCUACACCUCCACUCUAUCUCUCUCAAUCUAGUAGAAACUAGAAGAUCUAUUUCUACUUUACAUUGGAUGCUAAGCCUAAAAAGAAAUAUUAUUUAGAGAAGAGGUUUUCCUUCGAGGGCACCCCUCAAUCUCUAUGAUAACUUCUUGUCUCCUCCAGGGGCCAGGGGGGUCUCCUUAUAUAGUCCUCCUCCUCUAUGUGUUUUUGGGUCGGUAGGCGAGGUGGUACUACGUUAUCCUUGAUCCAAUAGGUCGGUGGAACAUCGUGUGCGAAGAGAGUCCCGAACGGAGUCCAGGACAGGGCGGGCGCCCUGGGCCUGGCCCCUUUCGGCCUCUGCUUUCUUCCCGUGGCUUCUGGAGUCUUCUAGAUGGUAGAAAAUUGCGCGGUGCGUUGAUAUCUCUAUGUAAUCCCGACAUGUGGGCCUUUCUUCCUUAUUUCCUAAUAUCCCCCUGCAGAAAUAGACAAACACCAAAACUCAUGGAAUUCUGUCAGAUAAAACCCUAAGUCUAGGUGUUGGUUGCAUUUGGAUCCUUUUCUUUAUUUAUUUGAUGAUUAUAUUUGGUACUUAAGGACCGUCAACACCUACAGGACUCAAGCUCUAGCACUAAGCUCUCACAAUGUGCACACUUAGCAAUGGUGCUAUCUGAACUGGCCUUCUCAAGAUCACAGAUCUUGGCAUUCUUCAUUGCUAGCUUAGAUUGCAAGCCUGUGCAGGACUUGCAUACACCCAACAAGACAGGCUAGCCUUCAGCUCAUCAUACUCAUCAAGCAAACAAGCAUACUUAGAUCAAAAUUCAGAGAAGUUAGACAUAUGAUCAGCACACUCAUCGCACUCUACUUCAUCUGACACAACCACAACAUACUUCUUAGUAGCCUAAAGCUCCUUAAGCACCAACUCUAGCUUGUCCUCAAACUCAUUUCUCUCAUAGGCAGCACACUUGAGCAAUUCAUCCUAUCAAGCUCAGUGACAAGGUCAUCAAGAGAAGGGGAUACCUCGAAGGUAUUGUCGUUGAAGGAGACCUUGUCCUUGUUGGCCUUCACCUCGGUAUCAACCGCCAUGGUGCAGAAGCCUCCAUGAGUGGAAUCAGCGAUGAAGCAAAGACCGGUCAGCUUCUCCUCCAUCUUCCUCUCGGACUCAUCAUCACUCAAAAGAGAAGAGGAGCAGUCAUCAUCAGAGUUGUUGUCGAGGUCACUGAGGGAAGGAAGAAAUGCAUGCUCUUGGGCCUUGACCUUCUUGCAGUACAUCUUCUUGAGUGCCUCCUUAUCGAAUCCCUUCUUUGACUUAUGCUUGCUGGAGUUAUAGUUGCGCUUGUCCUUGCGCUUGUUGGAGUCGUACUUGUCAAAGAAGUGGUAGUUCUUCUUGGGGUAGUUAUAACACUCCAAAAUUUGAAUUCCAAAUUUUUGUUUAAAUUUGAUUUAAUUUUGGCUUAGUUUGAAUUUUUGGGAAUUAUUAAAUAAUUUACAAAAAUAAAUAAAAUGAAAUAUAAGGUAUAAACAUGCUUGUGUGCAUUCAUGUUGCUGCAUAAUUUUUGCUUGAUUUUAAUUAUUUGCUGGUGCUUGAGUUAUUUUGUUUGGCAGCAAGAAAAGAAAAUAGAAAACCUGUUUUGAAUAAAAAAGGAAAAAAAAGGGUAGCGCCCUGGGCCGGCCUCCCUCUUCCCCCGCCUUCUGCCCGCAUGGGCUAGCAGCCCAGCCAGCGCGCGCACGCCCCCAGCCCGCAGCAUGCCCCCGCUUGCCCCUGCCCUUUGCCGCCGCCACCCGCUGACGGGUGGGCCCCACCCGUCAGGGCCGCCCCCAACCUCCCAUCCGAAACGGACGGGGCAGCCGCCUCCGCCUCGGCUUCCGCGAGCCCGCGCCGCGAGGUUCGCCUCUAGCCAUAAAUAGGCCUCGGCCUCGCCUGCACGCUCCCAUCUCGCCGAGUUCGCGCCGCCGCCGUCGGGCUUCUCUUCGCCGUCGUCGACUCGCGGAGGUGAGCCCUCCAUCGCGUUCGUCUCGCCGAGCCGCGUCCGCCCCUACCGUCGGAACGCGUUUUCGUAUACUGUAGCGCCGCCGCCGGGAGCUCCCAGUCCGCGCCCAUGGCGCCACCGCUGGCCGCGCCGCCCGGCCGCCUCGCCCGCUCCGGCGUGUGGUCCACCGUGGACCGUGGCUCCGCCCCCGCGCGGCCGGUCCACCAUGGACCCGGCCCACGCCGCACCCGCGCCCCGCUCAGCCCCGGCCCCGGUCCACCAUGGACCGGUGGACCCCCGCGCCCCCUCGGUCCACAGCACACCGCCGUGGACCGGCCAACUGCCCGCUGCCACGUGGCCAGACCGGCCACCGGCCCGCGCGCCCCUGCACUUUUUGCGAAAAGGACCCUGGGUUUCCUCAAAAUCAACUCGCGGUCCUUCGCAGUUUUAAUUCAUUUAAUUUUAGCCCCUGGUUUUUGCAGAAAAACCCCCGUAGCCGUUGGUUUUUAUAGUUUUAAUCCAAAAUGCUUUUUAAUUCAGUUUUAAUUAAUUUCAUUUUUGAAAAAUAGUUUAGCUAAUCUACAGAAUUGCCAUCCAACUUGUUUUAGCCAUAACUUUUGCGUCGUAACUCCGAUUUAGGUGAUUCUAGUCGCUAUAGUUUCGUAUCGUCGAGUAGAAUACAGUAGUACAGUUGCUUUAUGCUUUUGAAUGCUUUGGUGUACUGUUUCUGAUUAAGCUUGUUUGCUUACAUGUAUUGCUUCGUUUGCUUGAUGAUUGUCGCGUAUAGCCAACGAGACGUACGUGAAGGAAAAGGAUCAGGAUCCCGCUGAGUUCGAGCAACCCGACAACGAUCAAGGCAAGUGCAGACACCAUUUGAUCAUUUUGAACCUACUCAUUAAUGUCAUUUACUUUAUAUGCAUGUGUCCAAUGAAUGCAAACCCUAAGGACAUGACUAGCCUUACUUACCACUCCUUGUUCACCUAGGGUUAUGUAUAUGGGUAGACUAGGUUAUAUUAGGUUCGCUUAGCUGCUCUACUCAUCUUAUACACAUGCCUAAACAAGUAAUAAUCUCUACUUAACUUGAUGCUUAAACUGUGCUGAACCUUUGGUCACUGCGGUGAUGGCGAUGUUGGAUGCUUACGAGCAUCAUGAUGAUGGUGGUGACAGGGGGAGCGGGUACUGUUGGUGGUCUGGUUUGCCGGGCGUACCCGUCUCUUCUCUCCAUAAGGACUUAGUCAGGGAGCGGCCCCCUGGGACAUACAGUGCAGCUCCAAGCUAUAUGGCUCUGGCUUGACUAAUUAGCAGGACCUCCACUAGUAGGGUGUUACUUUCCGGGUAGGUGUGAGGAAGUAACUUGGGUAAUGUAUAUUAAGACGUCAGUUGCUCGGUAUGCCAUGGCUAUGGGUAUCGACUGCCGAGCGCCGCGGCAAAAACUUGCGAGUGGCAUCCUAUUAGUUGGACCCUGUGAAAGGUCUCAUAAUGAUACCCUACCUGCUCACCUUGGCAGUGUUUUGGGGAGUAAUGACCCCGGGUAAAUGGGAAUCACGACUUGGAGUGAAUGUGCACACCUCUAUAGAGUGUAAAACUGAUAUAUCAGCCAUGCUCACGGUCGCGAGCGGCACAUACCCUCACUUGAUGAGCAAAUUGGAUUCACUGGAUACUUGGAGAUGGAACUUGGCGAGGUUACUACCUCGUGUUUUGGCGGAAUGGCUAUUCUGUGUUGGCAGGAUUGCCAUCCUAUGUUAAUAAUUGGGGUUAAUCCCUAGACUACUAUAAUUAUUAGGAUAGUCAUUUAAAAGAUGCUAAUUACUACUUACACUAAUAAAGGGUUGGGUUUAUGCUACUCAUAAUUAGUAGUAGGUUGUUCUAAUAAUAGUCAUAAUUAAAAGUGAUCAACUAAAAUGCUACCGCAGUCAAACCAAGUCAGCUUUACCUUGUUUUAAGCCUUGCAUGUCAUUACUUUUCGUCUGUGCUUGCUGAGUUCGACAUGAGCUCACCCUUGCUAUAAUCAUUAAAGGUUGCUCGGACGAUCAGGAGUACAAUUGCGAUUUCCCUGACGACUACCCUGAGUCACCUGGUUGUUAGGCUCGUGUGGUUCUACCGUCGACUGAAGGGUCGAGAUGGCGGACUAGAGGGGGGGUAAACUUGUUUGCAUAUCGGUCAUCUAGUGCCACUUGAGCGAUCUAACUUUGCAUACGUGUUAGGAUCGAGUGGCGUGGCAAGUUGAGAGGCUAACUCCUUUGGAAAAAUGUUUAUGAAAAUGCUAACACACUUGCACAUGGUGGUGUACACUUGGUGGUGUUGGCACAUUUGCAAAGGAGAAGGUGUUGAAGUUGAUUUUGUUCAACUUGGAGAAGAGAGAGAAGUCUUUCGGUGUUCUCCGGACAUUAGGAUGGCUUUUAGAUUGGAAUACUACUUUGAUCCAUUUUGAUUUGGAUUGAGUAUUCAUAUAUAUUGGAUAGUACUCUAAGUAAGCUUUCCAAAAUGUCCAAGAUCAUCGAAUUUGGAGUUCGGAGCUAGAAGUUAGCAACCUAACAAGUUGAACUGCAGGCACAGGACGCUGAGAGUCCGGUGCGCACAGGACGAGUCCGGUGGCACAGGACGCUGAGAGUCCGGUGCGCACAGGACAGUCCGGUGUCACAGGACGCUGAGAGUCCAGUGCUGCUGCAAGUUUGCGUUGCUCUCUGCGUGUGAGUCCGGUGCGCACAGGGCGCGUCCGGUGUGAAGCAGCAGAGCGUCCGUCCGGUGUGAAGCAGCAGAGCGUCCGGUGCUACUGUUCCAGACGCGCGUGCGUGUGCUAGCCGUUGGCGGCAACGGUCAAGUUCAAACGGCCAGUGACACGUGGCUGUUUUUGGAGCACAGGACGCACUGUUCCAGCGUCCGGUGCUACCUACAGUGAGUCCGGUGCUCACGACUUUUGCCCAGUGAAGGGGCAACGGCUAGUUUAGCCCUUGGAGCUAUAAAUAGAAGUGGUGGCCGGCCUUGGCCGGUGCUGAGUGUUGACGGUUCUUAAGUAUCAAUUUUAAUUAUCAAAUAAACAAGAGAAAGGACCAAUAUGCAAACAACACCUAGAAUUAGGGUUUGAUCUAACAGAAUUCCAUGAGUUUUGUUGUUUAUCUGUUUCUGCAGGGGGUUAUCAGGAAAUAAGGAAGAAAGGCCUACAUGUCGGGAUUACAUAGAGAUAUCAACGCACCGCGCAAUUUUACAUCAUCUAGAAGACUCCAGAAGCCACGAGACCGAAGCGGAGGCAAAACUGGGCCAGGCCCAGGGCGCCCGCCCUGGUAGCCUAGGCGCCCACCCCCUGCUGGAGCCAAAUCAGGACUCUUUCGUUCGGGAUAUUCCACCGACCUAUUGGAUCAAGAAAAACACAGUACCACCUCGGCUAUCGACCCAAAAACGCAUAGAAGGGGAGGACUAUAUAAGCAAGGCCCCCCUGGCCCCUGGAGAAAACAUGAAGAAAUUAUCAUAGAGACUGAGGGGGCCCUCGAAGGAAAACCUCUUCUCUAAUUAAUAUUUCUUUUUAGGCUUAGCAAUCAAUGUAAGGUAGAAAUAGAUCUUCUAGUUUCUACUAGAUUGAGAGAGAUAGAGUUGAGGUGUAGAGUGGAGGAAGCCCGGCCUGUCGGUGUCUACUCCAAGCUUGUACCUGCGGGAUCAAGUUCUCCUAACCCGAAGCUUGCUCCUAGGAUUCUUCAGUAAUUCGACUUCUAAAUUCUAGUAAGUUCUUGUUUUAUUGUUCUUAUGGUAUAUGAGUUUACUUUAAUCUCUUCGCGUAGAGUUUAGAGUAAUCAUUCCUGGCGUAAACGUGGUGUUUAGGCUGGGGUACUCAUAGAUAUUCCCUGACUAGCUGGACCGUGGUAGUAGUGAGGAACGUGACAAUUCCGAGCUACCUUUGUAGAUCACAUCUCGUUAGCAGGAAGGAUAGGGUUUAUAGGUGCGGGUCGAACAUCCUUUGUGGUGUCUAGAUUCUGUUAGCCUCCCCAUUAGAACAGUAGAUCAUCCUUACCAAGGUUAGAAAGAGACUACGGUUGCAGUCUUCUCUAUUUAUCACUCACAUCGAAAGACAUUCUUUGUGCCUAAAGGUUAGUAGUAAUAGACCGGUUAGUCAGAUGCACUCUUUCUCCUAGUGGUAAAAAAAUAAAUACGAUACCCCGGAUAAUUUCCCGGGUGAAGUGCUCACCGAUAUCCGUGCGCUUGCGGAUCAAUUCCUUAUUGCGUUCCCAAAUAUCAACAAGCAUUUCUGGCGCCGUUGCCGGGGAGAAAGACGGUUGCUGAGAUAACCUGAGUCUUGCUACUAGCUUGUAUCUAUACUUUUAUCUUUUCUUAUCUUUUAUAUCCUUUAUUUAUUUUCUUUAUUCUUACCUUAUGGAAAACCAAAAUUCUAAAUCGAUCCAUGAGUCUGCAAUCCCUUUAGCAACUGACCUUUUACCAUGGGAAUCAUCACAGCCUAUCCAAACACCCCAGUAUAAGUUAAGUUCUAGGUUGAUUGCCAUGAUUCAAAACCUAUCUUUUUCGGGAAAGGAAGACGAAAACCCUUACCUUCACAUUAGAGAUUUUGAGCAAACAUGUGAUUGUCUUCGCAUUGAAGGCAUUUCUGAUAAGACUUUACGUUGGAAGCUUUUUCCUUUUUCUCUAAGGGGAGAAGCUAGACAAUGGUACAGUCAGAAGGUAAGUCAACAACAAGGUGAAUGGGGAGUUUUACGAGCCAACUUUUAUCUAGAUUUCUAUUCCCUUGACCGUAUAGCCGACCUUAGACUCGAAGUCCUAUCUUUUAAACAAAAAGAUAAUGAAACUUUGGGAAAAUCCUGGAAACGUUUUUCUGAUCUUUUAGAAUCUGGUCCAAACCUUAAUCUUGAAGACCCUGUUCUUUUAUUUCACUUUUUUCGAGGUCUUCAUAGAAAUCACAAACAAAUGCUACACACAAUGUCUAGAGGUUCUUUCUUUCGCAUCCCUGCUGAUGAAGCAAGAGUGAUCCUAGAUAGAAUCCUAGAAGCUGAGAUGGAUAAUACCCUUCAUGAUGAAACCUACGAAGCCGAAGUAGACACUCUGCCAAAUUCUUCAUCUACUUUAGCUAUCCCAAGUUCUGAGCCUCAAGAGGAAGAAAUUCCACUACCGGACUUCAUGCUGGAUAUAGAAUCCGAUCUUUUUGCCGAUUUUGGAAAUAUUUCAAACUACCAUUCUAUUGACAAACCCUGUCGGUGUUUUUCCCCCGGGGGGUCACACCAACGAGUAAAUUUGUAUGCGUGCUCCCCUUUUCGGAUGGUGAUGCAAGAAGACACAGAGAUUUAUCCUGGUUCGGGCAAGAGAAGGCCCUACGUCCAGCGGGGGGAGAGAGUUUGUAUUAUCUUGCACCUAAGUGCUUGUACAGGGGCGAAUACAAGCGUGGUAUGAAGUGUGUAGCUCUACUACGUGUGUGUGUGUUCUUGUGUUGUGAUGUCCCCCUCUUCUAUUCCCGAGUCUCUCCUUUUAUAGCUCCAAGGAGAGACACAGGGUACAUGCGUAGAUGUUAGAGUAGGGAUCGAUAGCCGCAUGGAGCGCUGACCUACUCGAGGCUUCCGUACGGUAUGGCCUCGAGCCGUCCCAUCUUGAUAGCUCGGUGAUGAUUACGCGUGCUCCUGUGUUCUGCCCUGCCAGCCGCCUUGUGCUGGUUCUGAGGUCGCAUGCUUGUACGGUAUGGUGGCGGACCCGACGGGGUAGCUGUGAUGAAGUCAGUCGACGCCCAACUUGUCCCUGGGAAGGGACCCUGUUUGGUCGAGGGUCGGACGCCGUGUAAUAUGCUGGUAUCUGGAGCGCUGACCUUGGGUGUCUCGAGGGGGUCCCGAUUAGACGUUCCAUCCUUGUUUCCUGCGUCCUGACACGCCCUGGGUCGUUCGGUGGGAAGGCUGCAAAAAGAACGAUGGGACAGAAGCUUGCUCCCUAUCACGCCCUCCGUGACCUGUGUGUUAGGUGGGGAAGCGUCAGGUGCAUUUAAUGCUCCGGCCCGCGUGCGCGCGUCGGGCGGCGGACAGUGUCCUCGCGCCCGACGCCUCUCGGUUCGCUCGAGCCCGCUUCCGUCAUCGACGGCAGUCGUCGCUCGAGUCCUCAACCGAUUCGCUCGACGUUAUUUCCAUCUUCGAGGCUGCGACCGUCGAUGGCGGCGCAUACGUAAGAUUAGAGCGUCGAAUUAAGGGUCUCGACCUUCCUACGGGCAAUCUCAUAACGUGCAUCACUGAGGGUACCCCUUACCGAUACCCUCAACAGUAGCCCCCGAGCCCUUGGAGGAGUUUUUGACUCCUUCGAGGGCUAUGUUAUCUAAUUCGCAGAAACGCUUUCGACACCAGUGGUGGAAGAUUCCGAUUGGCUCGUUUUUGCCCGGGGGUUUCGACGUACUCUCGAUAGAGCGAGCGUCUUCCAUCCCAAAUUGAGUUCCUAGCGGGUAGUCCAAGUGAGAACCUGUGCCCCUUUCGAGGGGGUCAGCUGUAGCCCGGAGGCGUCCUCAUAAAGCAGGGUCGACGUGGUUGGGGAUACCAGUCUCAUUCGAUAGAGGCCGGCGGCUCGAUGCCUCCCGUCGGGGGGAUUCCUCUCGACUAUCUCGACCCUACCUUGAACAUCGCCAGCGAGUCCUCGAGGCGGGCCUCGAUCUUCGACCGCUCGCUGGGGAUCCCUGACUCUGGCGCUCGAGAUCGGCUGUCGAACCCUUUUGGCGGGCCAGCCAUCGAUCUCUCGAGACUUUUGUGGUUACGUCCCUUGGCUUACGAGGGAAGGAAACGACCGUGGCGGUUCGCCUUUCUGCCCGUUGGGCGCGCCUUUCUAAGCGGAUGACGUUACAACACCGUAUCGGCGAGGAAUUCGGAGAGUCCGGCCUGUGAGGAGAGAGAGAGAGGACUGUUAGGCGGCGCAUUUAUGGGGGGAGUUACCUUACUUCUCGGAUCUGUCCGUUGGCGGACAGCUGCCUAUAAAUACGUCGUCGCGUCACCGCUGUUCCUCUCCCUUCCGCUUUCUCGCUCCUGCUCCUUCGCUGCCUUUGCUUUCUCGCCAUCUCACGCGCACAGGCCCCCUCGAGCUGUAGCGAACCCACCGUCCCUUUAGCCGAGAUGCCUGUAAGACUCGUCGCCGCCGACGACUGGCGCCCGUCGUCGAUGACGGAGCGCCGGCUGUUGGAGCUUGAGAAGGAGGGACUGCUGCGCCGCCGCACCUCGCUGUCGUCGCCAGAGUGGAUCGCGCCGCCGGCGAGCCACAGGGCGCCUCAGCCGCCCGAGGGCUACGUGGUGUCAUUCGCCAAGUUUCACCGCCACGGUCUGGGCGCGCCUCCAAGCCGCUUCAUGCGGGCCCUCUGCUUCCAUUAUGGGGUGGAGCUCCAGCACUUCUCUCCGAACGCCAUCACCGUAGCGGCGGUCUUCGCCGCCGUGUGUGAGGGCUUCCUGGGGAUGAUGCCGCACUGGGAUCUGUGGCUCCACCUCUACAGGGGCGAGCUGUUUCACGCCUCCACCGGAACCACGGGCGUAAGGAAGCCCGUGCGAGCGGGUUGCCUCAAUCUGGUGCAGAAGACGGGGAAGACGGACCGGCCGCGGGAGUACAUCCCGGUAGGGUUGUCGACCAACCACGCCGGCUGGGACUCCCAAUGGUUCUAUCUGCGGAACGACGACAACCUCCUGCCUUCUUACUCGGGCCGUCUGAUCUUGGAGCGUCCAGCGGACUGGACGUACGGCGUCGUCCAAGCUCAUCAGUCUCGGCUCGACCCUCUCCUCGACGCCCUGAAGAAGCUUCGCCAGGAAGGUUUGACCGCCGCCCUCGUCCUCUCGGCCGUCCAUCAUCGGAGAGUUCUCCCUCUGAUGUCACGACCGUUGAGGAUGGACGAGAUGGGCCCUGGCGUCUCAUCUCGGGACCUCGAGGCAUGUCGGAUGUCCAACGAGCCUCCGGCGGACGACGAAGUCGCGGCCCGAGUCAGGGCCGCAAUUGCCGGUGACUUUCAGCCGGAGCAUGUCAACGGCUUCCCUAUGAGACCUGACGCAGGCUCGAUCGAUCUGGUACGCUUUCUUCUUACGCGCAUCCCCGAUUCUGGGUUUCCUUUCUCCCCUCUCUUUUUUCUAAGUCUACCUUAGUUUUGGCAGGGUCGGAUUGAUGUCCGGUCCUCGAGGCCUCCGGUAAAGGAGGACGAGGUCGAACGCGACAAACGGCGCCAAUCCGCUGAAAAGCUGAAGUCUGCCAAGGACUCCGCAAAGAAGGGGGAGAAGAAGAAGAACCUCGACCGCCAAGCAUUAGAGGCGCGUCGAGCCAAAUCCAGGCAGAGGGGGGAGCCGGAGGAAGAAUCCCCCAAUGAUGAUGAUGACGACGACGAGGGUAGCGACGAUUCCGAGGGGAUGGCGUCGCGCCUCGAUCGGAUUCUCGAGGGCCCGCCUCGAGGUGACGUCGACGCCCUCCGGACGGAGGCGCCAGAGGAGGGUGCGAGCGGAUCUCGUCGUCCCCGGGCCGACGCUCCUUCCGCGCUCAAGGCGGGCCAAGACGCACCGCGCCCUCCCCCGGCACCCAGGGUGAGCGGUACGGCUAGGUCCCAGGCGUCGGGGCCGCUAACUCGCGGUCGCGCCGCGGCCUCUGAGAAAGGAGACGCCGGCCGUAGGAGCGUGAGUCCCGGCGUCCGCCAGGCGGGGACCGACGUACCUAAGCCAGUUCCUGUCCUCGAGGGGCCUAGAGCCCCGACGCGGGGUGGUUCGAGGCCCGCUGGUCGGGGUGGCGGAAAGCGAGCCGUUCUUCCCGUGGGGUAAGCCCUUUUGAUGUCGUGGUCUUUGUCCCCCCAUUCUUUCACCUUUCCUCACAUGCCGACUUUUUCUCAGGCUGAAACGGACCCUCGAGCAGGCCCAACCGUCCAUGGCCAAGAGGCUCAGAACGGGUGCCGCCUCCACGGAGCCAGGUUCGCAGUUAAUUCCUGGGUGUUGCGAUAUUCUUACGUUGGUUAUCAUAACGUCUGACCCUUACCCUUUGUUUUGUAGGCUCAUCCAGCACCCAACCUCCAGCCGGCGUCGAGAGGGCUUUACCUCGUCCCGCGCCUACUCCGCCGCCGCCGACUCACGAUGCGGCCCCCCAGACGCGAGCGUCAGAGGGAGCCCCCGAGCCCUCUCGAUUGGGGGUCGAGGGGGAACCCAUCACCAUCAGCGAUACGUCUGAUGGCAACGAAGCGCCUGGGGGCGCUCGGCCUAUGGAGGAAGAAGCAUCGACCCCCAACGUCGCGGGACGGACUCCCUGGCCUGCAGGCCUUCGAGCUCUCGAGGCGCAAAGGAAGAUGGUGGAGGAGGAGGAGCGGGAGCGCGAGGCGACGCAGCCGUCACUGGAGCAGCAGCAGCAGCGACCCCAGCCGGAGGAGCGGCUGCAGCACCAGCAGGAGGAGCAGCAGCAGCAGCUGGGGCAGCAACAGCAGCUGGGGGGCCAAGAGGACGAGCCACUCGAGCCCCCGCCUCAAGUUUUGGCCGAACCGGCGCCACUGGCGUCGCAAGAGCCCGGCGAUCAAGAGGGAAAUUUGCCGGUUUACGGACCUCCCACCCCAGCGUGGCUCCUCCCGGGGGCGCCUGCCGCGAUCCGGGCAGAGUCGGGGCGAGCGGACGGAGUGGUGGCGCUCGCCUGCAUGAUGCGCACCCCCACCGACCCCGAGUCCGAGAUCAAGAGGACAAUCUACGGCAUGGACGGGAUCGCCCCAGGGUUCCUCCGGGAGCGUCGAGCAUGGGAGGACCGCUUUCCCUCUGAGGAGGAUGAGAUCGGGUCGUCUGGGAGCAAGGACAGUACGUGGAAGACGGUGGACGACGACGGGCGGUUCCCUUGCCUCGCCGACCUGUUCUUGCGCCACGGGGGUUCCCUCGAGACCGUCGAGAACUUUCUCCGUGGCGUCAAGGUGCGGGCUGAUCGGGAGAUGGAGAACUGGUGUCCCGAUCGGAUUCGUAUCCGAGCUUCCAGCGACCCGUCCGAGCCCAAUAUCUUCCUCGAUGACAAGAAGGAAGUCGAGAAGUGGGAGCAUGUCGAGGAGCUCCGCCUUUGGAUGAAACACGUGGUGGGGCUCCUAUCGGACGUCAUCAACAACGGGCUUGGGCCAGUUUAUUUUGUAAGUGUUUCUCGAGCUCCAAUCUUUGUGGUGCUUUCAGGUUUCUGUGUUCUAAUCCCCCUGACCCCUGAUUCGCAGGAUAUGAAAGAGACCUCUCGCAUCAAGUCCAGCUUCAUACAUGCCACGAGGGGCGGAUGGGAGCAGCUUCCCCUCCUCAAGGAUCAACUCCUCGAGUCGCAGGAAAAGCUACUUAAAGCUUACAAAGAUCUCAUAGCACUCGAGGAGGAGAAGAAGGUGAGGGAGGCUGCUUUGGCCGAGGCCCGAGAGGUCUCGAAGAAGGCGGAGGAGGAGGCGAUGCGGCUACGGGAGCGGGCUCUUACGGUCGAGGAGGCCGCGUCCAGAGCCCGGGAGGAGGCCCUGUCCCACAAGAGCGUCAUCGCGGACCUGGACAAGGAGAAGGGCCUUCUCCAAACCGACCUGGACUCCCUCCGCGAUACCUUCCAAAAGAUGAAAGUGGCGUUCGUGGACAAUGAGGUCGCCAGGGGUGCCGCCGAGGACGCAAAGAAGAAGGCCCUCGAAGACCUCGAGAUGGAGCGAGCUCGAUCCCGCAGUCUCUCUGACGACGUCGGGCGUCUGAAGGGAGAAUUGCUGGAGAAGAGUGGAGCCGUCGCUCAGGCUGGCAAGGUGAUCGAAGAUCUCCGCGUUGCCAAUACUGAGCUGGCGCGUUCCAACAGAGAGAUCGAGCGUGCCAACACCAGAUUGGUCGGCGAGAACACGGCCCUAGAGGAGAGCAUCAAAGGUAUGUUUCCUUUGUCGAAUUUCCUUUUCGAGGUGUGCUUGAGUUUUUCCUAAAGCUUCUUUGUAUUGGUACUUAUAGGGCUCAAGGACGAACUCCUGGCCGCCCAAGCCGAGGCUCGCAACGCCAAAGCUCAGCUCGAGGCUAAGGUUGCUUUGAACCGUCGAGUGCGGACGGCGAUAAGCGAUCUCUCGACCUCUUGGGAGGUCGAGCCUAUGGAUGAGUCGAGGGAGGACACUCGAGGCGACGCCCUGAUCGACCAGUUGUGCUACAUAGGCGCAACGCUGCGAGAUCGGGUGCGGGAUGCCCUCCACAUCGGGGUGAAGCGGGCGAUGGCGGUUGUCUGCUCGGGCUUCUCCUACGACAUGGAGGUGGUGUCCCAUGGCUUCGUCACCGACAUCUCCAAGACCGACGCGGAGAACGAGGAGAGGCUCCAUGCCUUGAUCGACGACGCGGAGGCUCCUGGGGAAAGGUUGGCCAAGCUCUUCGAGCCUGAGGUGCUCCCUCCUGAGGCUAGCUCGGGCGGAGGCGAGGGCGGUGAGGAUCGUGCCGUUGACUGAGGCCUGCGAGCCUGCUCAGGGUGCCUGAGGCCCCUUGUACGAUACUUUAUUAAUUUUGCUGUUACAUGAUAUAGUAUCUUUUCGUAAUUGUUAACUACUUAUUUGUCUUUCCGCUCGAGGUUCCUUUGUUUCUCUUCAUUCCUACGUUUGUAUCCCUUGCUCGACCUUUCGUCAGAAACAAACUUGAUUUCCGUAGCCCGGGGGCGUGGGAGUUUUCCGGCUCAUUAUCCCUCGGCCUUUGAGGGGCUCAAGGUGCCUUAGCUACUCGAACCGUGUAAGGUUUACCAAGCAAGAAAAGAAAAUUUCUUGGCUUUUUCGACGCUUGGGGAGGGGUCGUCCCCCUGGUAGCCCCCGAGGGGGUGCGGACUAUGAUGGGUCAUGGUCGGCAUCCCCUUUUGACGUCGAGACUAUAACUCGUAACUAUUUUUGGUACAGAAAGAAGCUGCUCGAGGGAAAGACUUUAUUUAUUCAUGCGUUCAUUUACAAAGUCCUCGUUCAAAAAGUAGGAUCGUAAAUCUAGGACUUCUAGGGGUAGAAUCGACGUAGCUGUUCGAUGUUCCAUGCGUUGGUGAAGACUGCCCCCUUUUCGUCCGCCAAUUUGUACGUUCCAGGCUUAAGGACCUCGGCCACCACAUACGGGCCUUCCCAAGGUGGGGUCAGCUUGUGGCGUCCUUGGUUGCUUUGCCGGCGUCGUAGGACAAGGUCGCCUACGUUGAGGUCCCUCCUGCGCACGUGCUUGUCGUGGUAGCGUCGGAGUCUCUGCUGAUAUCUAGCAGAGUUGAGGAGGGCCAUGUCUCGAGCCUCCUCGAGUUGGUCGACCGCGUUUUCCUGAGUCUCUUUGUUCGAUUGCUCGUUGUAAGCCUUGAGUCGUGGUGACCCAUACUCGAGGUCUGUGGGGAGGAUAGCUUCAGAGCCGUAGACCAUGAAGAACGGGGUGUAUUUUGUGGCCCUGCUUGGCGUUGUCCUAAGGCUCCAUAGGACUGAGGAAAGCUCCUCGACCCAUUUCUUGCCGAAUUUCUUCAAUUGAUUGUAGAUCCUUGGCUUGAGUCCUUGCAAAAUCAUGCCGUUGGCACGCUCGACCUGGCCGUUAGUUCGAGGGUGGGCUACUGCGGACCAGUUCACUCGGAUGUGAUGCUGAUCGCAGAAAUCCAAGAACUUUCUGCCAGUGAACUGGGUGCCGUUGUCGGUGAUGAUGACAUUGGGGAUCCCAAACCGAUGGAUGAUGUCGGAGAAGAAAAGGACGGCCUGCUCGGAGCGGAUGUUGGUGAUGGGUCGAGCCUCGAUCCAUUUGGAGAACUUGUCGAUUGCCACCAGCAAAUGGGUAUAUCCUCCUUUCGCCUUUUGUAGAGGGCCUACUAAGUCGAGCCCCCAUACCGCAAACGGCCAGGUGAUGGGGAUCAUCUGAAGAGCGUGUGCGGGCAGGUGCGUCUGUUUGGCGUAGAAUUGGCACCCAUGACACGAGCGUACGAGCUCGAUGGCAUCCGCCACGGCCGUUGGCCAGUAAAAGCCUUGCCGAAAAGCGUUUCCUACAAGGGUCCGUGGGGCGGCGUGGUGGCCACAAGCCCCUGAGUGCAGGUCGUCGAGGAGUUUUCGACCUUCCUCUACGGUGAUGCAACGUUGUAAGACCCCCGUCGGGCUCCGUCGAUAUAGCUCGUUGUCUUCGCCAUAGAUCACAUAUGAUUUGGCCCGUCGAGCGAUACGACGAGCUUCUGUCUUGUCUUCUGGCAACUCACCGCGGAUAAGGCAGUCGAGGAACGGUGUGCGCCAAUCGAAUGGUCGACCCGGUCGUCGUUCUAUUUCCAUCACCUCUUCCUCCAUCAAGAGCGCAUCGGCAGCAUUGGUUGGUUGGGCGAUGGUGGCGUCGACGCCAGCCCCCGUGCCUAGGUCGACGGAUGGCUCGUGAAGAUCCUUUGAGAAUGCAUCAGGCGGCACUGUGCCUCUGGUAGAUGCAAUCUUGGCGAGUUCGUCGGCUGCCUCGUUGUAGCGUCGAGCGACAUGGACAAGCUCGAGGCCGUGGAACCUGUCUUCGAGUCGACGCACCUCCUUGCAGUAUGCUUCCAUUUUUGGGUCAUGGCAACUCGAGGUUUUCAUUACCUGGUCGAUGACGAGUUGGGAGUCACCUCGGACGUCGAGGCGUCGGACUCCUAACUCGAUAGCGAUCUUAAGACCGUUGACGAGGGCCUCAUAUUCUGCGACAUUGUUAGAUGCGGCAAAAUGAAUCCUGAUUACAUACCUCAUGUGGACGCCCAAGGGUGAGAUGAACAGCAGGCCGGCCCCGGCCCCAGUUUUCAUGAGUGACCCGUCGAAAUACAUCGUCCACAACUCCGCCUGGACCUGAGUCGGGGGAAGCUGGGAGUCUGUCCAUUCCGCGACGAAGUCUACCAGGGCCUGCGAUUUGAUGGCCUUUCGAGGCGCGUAAGUGAGAGUCUCGCUCAUGAGCUCGACCGACCACUUUGCUAUCCUUCCCGUGGCCUCCUUGCUCUGGAUUAUCUCGCCCAAGGGGAAAGAAGAGACCACCGUGAUAGGAUGACCAAGGAAGUAAUGCUGCAAUUUGCGGCGGGCAAGGAUCACGGCGUAGAUCAGCUUCUGGAUUUGGGGGUAACGCGCCUUAGUCUCCGAAAGCACCUCGCUGACGAAAUAGACUGGCCUUUGGACUGGCAGCGCGUGACCCUCCUCUUGUCUUUCGACCACCACCGCCGCGCUGACGACCUGGGUCGUCGACGCGACGUAGAGGAGCAGCGGCUCCGCAGGGUGAGGUGGAACCAGGACGGGUGCCAAGGUCAGCGUCUUUUUCAGUUUUUCGAGUGCUUUCUCGGCCUCGGGGGUCCAAGAGAAACGCUCGACCUUCUUCAGGAGUCGAUAUAAUGGUAAUGCCUUUUCUCCUAGUCUCGAGAUGAAACGGCUCAGAGCCGCCAGGCACCCCGUGACUCUCUGCACACCCUUGAUGUCUCGGAUCGGCCCCAUUUUCGUGAUGGCCGAGACUUUCUCGGGGUUGGCCUCGAUACCGCGCUGCGAAACAAUAUACCCUAGGAGCAUGCCUCGAGGCACGCCGAAAACGCACUUCUCGGGAUUGAGCUUGAUCCGGCUGGUGCGUAAGCAGCUGAAGGCAACCUCGAGGUCCUGGAUUAGGUCUCCUCGUUGCUUUGACUUGACGACAAUGUCGUCGACGUAGGCCUCGACCGUUGAGCUUAUAUGUUCGCCAAAUACGUGGAGCAUGCAACGUUGAUACGUGGCUCCCGCGUUUCGAAGCCCAAAUGGCAUGGUCACGUAGCAAUACAUCCCGAAAGGUGUGAUGAAAGAGGUCGCGAGCUGGUCGGACUCUUUCAUUUUUAUUUGGUGGUAACCAGAAUAAGCAUCAAGGAAAGAAAGGGUUUCACAUCCCGCGGUAGAAUCGACAAUCUGAUCAAUGCGUGGCAAUGGAAAGGGAACUUUUGGACAUGCUUUAUUCAAACUAGUAUAAUCGACACACAUCCUCAUUUUCCCAUUCUUUUUCUUAACUAAUACAGGGUUCGCUAACCAGUCAGGAUGAUGAACCUCCUUGAUGAAUCCGGCCGUCAAAAGCUUGUGGACUUCCUCGCCAAUGAUCUUGCGCUUUUCCUCGUCGAAUCGGCGCAACCGCUGCUUCACUGGCUUGGAACCGGCUCGAAUCUCCAAGGAGUGCUCGGCGACUUCCCUCGGUAUGCCCGGCAUAUCCGAGGGACUCCAUGCAAACAUAUCAGCAUUUGCACGGAGAAAGUCGACGAGCACGGCUUCCUAUUUGGGGUCGAGGUCGGUGCUGAUCGUCAGCACCUUGCCGUCGGAGUUGUUGGGGUCGAGCGGGAUCUUCUUAGUUCCUUCCGCCGCCUCGAAGCUGCCCGCAUGACGUUUAGGCUCUGGAGCCUCAGCGGCCAUGGCCUCGAGCUUUGCAACGAGCUCGGUGGAGCUCUCGACCGCUUCCCCGUACUCGACGCACUCGACGUCGCACUCGUACGCAUGCUCGAAGGAGGAACUGACAGUGAUGACGCCUUUGGGACCAGGCAUCUUCAGCUUCAAGUAUGUGUAGUUGGGUAUAGCCACGAACAUGGCGUAGCCCGGGCGCCCGAUGAUGGCGUGGUACGUGCCUCGGAACCCAACCACCUCAAAGGUGAGGGUCUCCUUCCUGAAGUUGGCCGCCGUGCCGAAGCAGACCGGCAGGUCGAUUCGACCUACUGGCAGUGCCUUUUUCCCUGGUACGACGCCAUGGAAACCGCCGGCGCUUGGCUGGAGGCGUCCUCUAUCGAUGCCGAGGAGAUCGAGGGUCUCAAGGUAGAUGAUGUUGAGGCUGCUGCCACCAUCCAUCAGCACUUUCGAGAGUCGGGUGUUGACGAUGAUGGGGUCGACGACGAGCGGGUAGACGCCUGGGGCGACUACCUUGUCAGGGUGGUCUUCUCGGUCGAAAGUGAUGGGGGUGCUCGACCAGCUAAGGUACUGGGGCACCGCCAUUCUUGCUGUAAAGACUUCGCGACGCUCCCUUUUGCGCUGCCUCGCGGUUAACUGAGUCAAAGGCCCGCCAUAGAUCAUGUAGCAGUCGUGGACGGCGGGGAAGCCGUCGUCAUCUUUGUUGUCCUCCUUGCCGCCAGCCUUCUCCUUCUUGGAGUCCUCACGCGUAUCUUUUUUGAACCCCUGACCGUCGAAAUGCUUUCUCAGCAUACGACAGUCCUUGAGUUUGUGGUUAGCGCCUCCCUUAUGGUAAGGGCACGGCUCCUCCAACAUCUUGUCGAAGAUGGCUCCCUCCGGAGGGCCUCGCGGCUUCUUUCGAUCCAUCGCGGCGACGAGGUCGUCACCCGAAUCUCCCUGGUGGAACUGCCGCACUUUCUGCUUCUUUUUAUUUUUCUUGAGGCCUCGACUGGAAGUCCCAUCUUCAUCGACGGGCUGCUUGCCUUUUCUUACUUCUGAGCUGAAGAAGGCGCCGACUGCCUCCUCCCCUGCCGCGUAGUUAGCUACUACGUCCAUCAGCUCGUCGACGGUCUGAGGUCGAUUGCGGCCUAAUUCCCGCACCAAGUCUCGACUGGUGGUGCCCGAGACAAACGCCAAGAUGACGUCGUGGUCGGGGAUGUGUGGCAACUCAGUGCGCUGCUUCGAGAAGCGUCGAGCGUACUCCCGAAGAGUCUCUCCUGACUUCUGCUUGCAUUUGCUGAGGUCCCACGAGUUCCCUGGCCGUAUAUAGGUCCCUUUGAAAUUACCCUCGAAGACUUUGACCAGAUCAACCCAGUUGUGAAUCUGAUUGGCAGGGAGUUCCUCGAGCCAUCGACGGGCGGUGUCGGAGAGGAAAAGGGGUAGCUGUCUGAUGAUGGCUCGAUCAUCCCCUCGAGCGCCACCUAGCUGACAAGCCAGCCUGAAAUCGGCCAGCCAUAGCUCUGGCUUGGUUUCUCCAUUGUACUUCGCGAUGCUGGUUGGGGGUCGAAAUGGACUAGGCAGGGGCGUGCUGCGAAUCGCCCUGCUGAACACCCGCGGGCCCGGUGGCUCGGGGGCCACCCGGUCCUCGUCGCUGUCGUACCUCCCACCGCGAUGCGCGCUAUAACCACGUUCUUCCGCGUCUCCGUGCCGGCGGCGUCUAUUUUCUUUGAUGUCGUGUCGUGCGUCGUGUCGACGUUGAUUGUCGGCAGGGAGGAUGAGAGCGGUCUUUCUACCUCGAGGGGGAGGUUGUUGCUGGACAGACACCUCCUCUUCGAUUAGAGGCUGUUCGUCGCGCUUCUCUGUGGCAGCUCCUCGUCGUCGAGAUGCCGAACUUUCGGCUUGUUGAACUGCUGCCACCUGGAGCAAUGUCUGAACUUCAUCUCGAAUGCGUCGGGCCUGGGAAUUUGAUGGUUCUGGCAUGUUACGUAGCAGCAUCGUCGCUGCCACUACAUUCUGGCCUGCUCGAGGGAAACGGCUGACAGGUUGCUCCGCCUCUGCGUCACCGACGAUCUGUCGAUGUACCUCUCGAGCGCGUCUGCGGACACUUCCGCCCGGCGGGUAGGGCAGGUCUUGUUCGAGGAUUUGCUCGAGCAGGACGAGGCGCUCGCGAUCUUCGUCGAGCUUCAUCUUGAGCUCCCGCAGCUGCGCGAGCUGCGCAGUUCUAUCUUCCUGAGGAAGAGGGUCGAGUCGUCCGUCGUUCCCAGGCGUCCUGGGGUCUUCUUGCGCCGCGGGGGCUCGACCACCCGCAGCAGCAUCCCGUGUCUCGUCGGUGGUUUCUGCCGCCCCGUCGAUGUGAUAGCAUUCCCUCGUAGGGUCAUAGCUGUCUGUCUCGGAGUCGGAGUCCGGUUCGGCGGCGUGGAAACGCCCACAUCCUUCCUCCAGCAAUCGUUGCCUGAGGGAGGUGAUCGAGUAUCGCCCGGGGCCUAGACGGCGGAGGCCUCGUACUCGGGAAAGGUCCGGCAGCUCGGACGCCGGCCGCCGCGGUUCAGAGCUACGUGGGAGGACCAUUGGUCUUUCUACGUACGUCUGGGCGUUUGGGCAUAUCGCCUUGGCGAGCGACGCCGCGGCGUUGUCCAACCCGAACGGCAGUGCCGCCCUUGGAGAGAACAACCCGUGUGGAAGUAGCCUAGCUGCGGUGGGGGAGGGCGCGCGAGACGCGUCUCCCCCCGUCGUCAUGCGGUGCUGAGUCGUCGUGCUUGUUGCUCGGUCACACGGUGUUGCCGACUUGUGGCCCACAUUCUGCCUUGCACGAGUUGUUGGUCGUGCUGAAGCAGAGGGGCCGCAGUGGUGCUGCCCGCGCCUCUUCUUAGGCGGGGAGGCGUGGUGGUGAGGGCGUCUCGGAGCCUUCAACCGUGCUGGCGUAACGCGGACUCCUCCUGGUCCUUUGACUGAGAGCAAGAUCAUGUCGUAGCCGGAGCCCGUAGACAUGAACUCGAGACUCCCAAACCAAAUCACCGUGGAGCGCGGAAGCGGCGAGGCAAGAGUAGCCAUCCGGAAAGUGGUGGGAAAUCGGUGAAAAACACGCAGGACCCCUACCUGGCGCGCCAACUGUCGGUGUUUUUCCCCCGGGGGGUCACACCAACGAGUAAAUUUGUAUGCGUGCUCCCCUUUCCGGAUGGUGAUGCAAGAAGACACAGAGAUUUAUCCUGGUUCGGGCAAGAGAAGGCCCUACGUCAAGCGGGGGGAGAGAUUUUGUAUUAUCUUGCACCUAAGUGCUUGUACAGGGGCGAAUACAAGCGUGGUAUGAAGUGUGUAGCUCUACUACGUGUGUGUGUGUUCUUGUGUUGUGAUGUCCCCCUCUUCUAUUCCCGAGUCUCUCCUUUUAUAGCUCCAAGGAGAGACACAGGGUACAUGCGUAGAUGUUAGAGUAGGGAUCGAUAGCCGCAUGGAGCGCUGACCUACUCGAGGCUUCCGUACGGUAUGGCCUCGAGCCGUCCCAUCUUGAUAGCUCGGUGAUGAUUACGCGUGCUCCUGUGUUCUGCCCUGCCAGCCGCCUUGUGCUGGUUCUGAGGUCGCAUGCUUGUACGGUAUGGUGGCGGACCCGACGGGGUAGCUGUGAUGAAGUCAGUCGACGCCCAACUUGUCCCUGGGAAGGGACCCUGUUUGGUCGAGGGUCGGACGCCGUGUAAUAUGCUGGUAUCUGGAGCGCUGACCUUGGGUGUCUCGAGGGGGUCCCGAUUAGACGUUCCAUCCUUGUUUCCUGCGUCCUGACACGCCCUGGGUCGUUCGGUGGGAAGGCUGCAAAAAGAACGAUGGGACAGAAGCUUGCUCCCUAUCACGCCCUCCGUGACCUGUGUGUUAGGUGGGGAAGCGUCAGGUGCAUUUAAUGCUCCGGCCCGCGUGCGCGCGUCGGGCGGCGGACAGUGUCCUCGCGCCUGACGCCUCUCGGUUCGCUCGAGCCCGCUUCCGUCAUCGACGGCAGUCGUCGCUCGAGUCCUCAACCGAUUCGCUCGACGUUAUUUCCGUCUUCGAGGCUGCGACCGUCGAUGGCGGCGCAUACGUAAGAUUAGAGCGUCGAAUUAAGGGUCUCGACCUUCGUACGGGCAAUCUCAUAACGUGCAUCGCUGAGGGUACCCCUUACCGAUACCCUCAACAAACCCCAAAACGGUCAAUUUAGCAUUUAUUUACCAAGUGAAUAUCAAUUGAGAGAGCUUAUCUCAGUCAUGAGUAGCGAAUGGUUGGAGGAAUCAGAGCUUUCCUCUGAUGUGAUCCGUUUGGACACACCCUCUAUAACUAUACGCUGUGCUUAUAAUUCUGAUCGAUUUAAUGCUCUUUAUAAUCCUGUUGUGGGGAUCAACAUUAUGUCUGAAUCCUUUGCACUUAAACUAUUUAAAAAUCUUAUCUUAACCCCCACAACAAAGGUCAUAAAGGAAUCUUCGGGACGAUUAGUCCCCAGUCUUGGAAUUAUAAAUGUCCUACCUCUUACGGUAGAAGGCUCCAUGGUUCAUUUGAACUUCUAUAUCUUUGAUACAUGGGACUUCGACCUAUUGAUAGGACAACCUUUUAGAAGACUCCUUUAUGAAGGUCAUACUGGAAAGCUACACAUUUCUUUUGGAAAAACCUUUAAAUUCUCAAUAAUAAUUUCACACUCCUUAAACAAUAAGGCCAAGUCAUAUCUUUUGCCUGAUCCUAUGGAGGAAGUAAAGGCUGCAUCUCUAGAGCUUAUAGAUGAACCAGACUUAGAAGACGAAACUCCUUUCUUCACAGAAGAAGAAGACGAACCUUCUGAGCCUGAACCCUUAGAUGAGUUUGCAGAAACACCUAGACCCCCCAUAGAGCUUAAAACUUUACCACCCGGUCUUACCUAUGCUUUCCUAAACAAUAAUCCAGAGUUUCCUGUGAUCAUUAGCGAUAAACUCACUCAGGAUCAAACUCUGCGAUUAAUGACCAUUCUUGAGAAACAUCACUCAGUAUUCGGCUACUCACUUCAAGAUCUUACAGGAAUCAGUCCUAUAAUUUGUACCCAUCGUAUUCCAAUAGAUCCUUCUGUUACACCCUCUCGAGAACCCCAACGUAGACUUAACAACACUAUGAGAGAGGUAGUUAAAAAGGAAGUUAUUAAGUUGCUGCAUGCAGGGAUUAUAUAUCCUGUGCCGCACAGUGAGUGGGUGAGCCCAGUCCAAGUUGUGCCCAAAAAGGGAGGCAUGACAGUUAUUAUGAAUGAAGAACGAGCUAAUUCCGCAACGCACCGUCACAGGAUGGCGGAUGUGCAUAGACUAUAGAAAACUAAAUAAAGCCACGAGAAAGGAUCACUUUCCUUUACCUUUUAUAGAUGAGAUGCUAGAGCGGUUAGCAAACCAUUCAUUCUUUUGUUUCUUAGAUGGAUAUUCAGGGUAUCAUCAAAUCCCGAUCCAUCCCGGUGAUCAAAGCAAAACCACUUUUACAUGCCCUUAUGGAACUUAUGCUUACCGUAGAAUGUCUUUUGGGUUAUGUAAUGCACCAGCUUCUUUUCAAAGAUGCAUGAUGUCUAUAUUUUCUGAUAUGAUUGAAGAGAUUAUGGAAGUUUUCAUGGAUGAUUUCUCUGUUUAUGGAAAAACUUUUGAUAGUUGUCUUGAAAACUUAGAUAAGGUUUUGCAAAGAUGUGAAGAAAAGCACUUAAUCCUUAAUUGGGAAAAAUGUCAUUUUAUGGUUAGGGAAGGAAUAGUGCUGGGACACUUAGUGUCUGAAAGAGGAAUUGAGGUAGACAAAGCUAAAAUUGAAGUAAUUGAACAACUACCUCCACCUGUGAAUAUAAAAGGAAUUCGAAGCUUUCUUGGCCAUGCUGGUUUUUAUCAUAGAUUCAUAAAAGAUUUUUCAUUCAUUGCUAGACCACUUACUCUUUUGCUAGCCAAGGAUGCUCCUUUCGAAUUUGAUGAUGCAUGUCUAACAUCUUUCAAUUUAUUAAAGGAAGCACUCAUCUCUGCACCAAUCAUUCAACCCCCUGAUUGGUCGUUGCCUUUUGUAAUUAUGUGUGAUGCUAGUGAUUAUGCUGUGGGGGCAGUAUUAGGACAAACUAAAGAUAAGAAGCAUCAUGCAAUUGCUUAUGCCAGUAAAACUUUGACAGGAGCUCAACUUAAUUAUGCAACCACUGAAAAAGAGCUUCUGGCUGUUGUCUUUGCCAUUGAUAAAUUUAGAUCUUAUUUAGUUGGAGCUAAAAUAAUUGUUUACACUGAUCAUGCUGCAUUAAAAUAUUUGCUCACUAAAAAAGAUGCUAAACCUCGCCUGAUUAGAUGGAUCUUAUUACUCCAAGAAUUUGACUUAGAAAUAAAAGAUAAAAAAGGAGUAGAAAAUUCUGUUGCUGAUCACUUGUCUAGAAUGUAUUUUAAGAGUCCACAGGAAACCCCCAUCAAUGAUUCACUCCGGGACGACAUGCUCUACGGGAUUAACAGGUCUGACCCCUGGUAUGCAGAUAUUGUUAAUUUUAUGGUUUCAGGGUAUGUACCACCAGGAGCAAACAAAAAGAAGCUUAUUCAAGAAAGUCGUUCACAUAUAUGGGAUGAGCCAUACCUCUUCCGAGUAUGCUCUGAUGGCUUACUCAGGAGAUGUGUGACCACUGAGGAAGGAUGGAAGAUCAUCGACAGAUGUCAUUCAUCACCAUAUGGAGGUCACUAUGGAGCAUUCCGUACAUAUUCAAAGAUCUGGCAGUGUGGAUUCUACUGGCCUACAAUGUAUGAAGACACGAAGCAAUAUAUCAGGAGAUGUGGGCCAUGUCAAAGGCACGGAAACAUAAAUACAAGGGAUGCAAUGCCACUCACCAACAACCUUCAGAUUGAGCUCUUUGAUGUCUGGGGAAUAGACUACAUGGGUCCAUUUCCUCCAUCAAAGAAGUGUGAGUACAUUUUGGUGGCGGUUGACUAUGUCUCCAAGUGGGUAGAAGCAUUACCUUGCAAGCAUGCCGACAGCGUCAGUUCAAAGAGGAUGUUUGAAGAAAUUAUAUUUCCAAGAUUUGGAGUUCCCAGAGUAGUGAUAAGUGAUGGAGGAGCACACUUCAUCGACAAACGCUUCAAGCAAUAUCUAUCAAGACAUGGAAUCCGUCACAACGUCGCUACCCCCUAUCAUCCUCAGACAAGUGGCCAAGCAGAGACUUCCAACAAACAAAUCAAGAAUAUUCUUCAGAAGACAGUAAAUGAAAUGGGAACGGCGUGGAAAGACAAGUUACCCGAUGCACUCUGGGCAUACCGGACAGCAUACAAGACCCCAAUUGGAAUGUCUCCAUACCAAUUGGUGUACGGGAAGACUUGCCAUCUACCUGUUGAACUAGAGUUCAAAGCACACUGGGCCAUAAAGAGAUGGAAUAUGGACCUAGAUGUUGCUGGAGAUUAUAGAAGAAUGCAACUAUCAGAAUUGGAAGAAUGGCGAGAGAAGGCAUAUCACAAUUCAAAAAUCUACAAAGAAAGAGUCAAGAGAUGGCAUGACAAGAGAAUCAAGAAGAAGGAGUUCACACCCGGAGAUAAGGUAUUACUUUUUAAUUCCAGGGUAAAGCUUUUUGGGCAUGGAAAACUCCAGAGCAAAUGGGAAGGACCAUUCAAGGUAAUCAAUUCAUCAUCCCACGGAGCUAUCACACUUCAAAAUAGCGAAGGUACGUUAUUCAAGGUAAAUGGUCAACGUCUUAAAUUAUUUUUAGAGCCCAAUGAGGAAUUUGAAGAAAUAGACGUAGUCCAUUUUUACCUUCCCAUAGAGAAUUAGAGCCCGACACUUUUGGUCUGAUGGUUUUGGGGCAUAUAUAUAUUUUUCUAAAUAAUUUCGCAUCUAGAAACGCGCUCGGAAAAGUGGGCCCACAGAGGAGCCAGAGAAAGGGCGGGCGCCCAGCCCCUGUUCCCCCUCGGUCCCGACUUUCUCUGAUAUGGAAAAUGCACUUAGGGUGAUCCGAAUAAUCCCUCGGAUGGAAAGUUUCGCACGCACAUCGACGGGAGCAACCCGAACAACCCAUAGAGGCAUCCUUUUGACCCCUAUAUAAACAGACCCCUGACCUCAGUUUUCAGACACCAAGCCACCAAGCUUUCUCUCCUUCAAUUAGAGCUUAAUUAGCUCUACUUCAAUUAAAAUUUUAUUAGUUCCUUGCUACUCCAAUGGCCGAGAAGUACCACGAUGAUUGGGAAGUCGUCCCCUUCAACCUCAACAUGGAGCCAGUGGAAGAACCCGAUGCCCGUGCUCUCGUCCCGGCCAACACAGAGCGACAACUAGAAGCCAUGCCAUUACGCCAACGCAGCUCCGCCCAAUCCUACCAUGCUCAACCAGUUCUCACCGCACCACCACAACCCCUACUCCUCAAAGGACCAUCAUCCAAGACGAAGACCACUAUCAAGGUACCAAUCGGUACAAGGAUCCUUCCACCUAGACCCAAUGAGAGCGUCGUUGGAGUCAAGACCAACCGGAGCGGCGAGAUCAGCAGCGUUCGCUACACUACGGAGGAGGAAAGGCCUUACUUUGAAGGGAUUAGAGCAUCCAAAGUCCGUUUCAUCCCUCCAAAGGCAGCCCCGAAGCACUCUCUCAAUGCUUUUGAGACACCUCCCAAGCGUCACAAGACUAUAAUGGAUAUUGAUGAGGAAGUUCGCAGGCUAGAUAGAGUUAUCAUAGACCUCCAGUCCUCGAUUAAUUCCCUCACUAGGCAGCUCUCUAACCACAACACCGUUAUAUUAGGCCUUAGGCAGGAUCUUGCCAGUGCCAACAAGAAGAUCAAGGAAUUAGAGCGCCGUUAAGUUAUCUAGAUUAGACCUUGAGGCAAUGCAUCUUAGUCAUUUAUCUUUAAAUUCGGUUUAGGUUUACUAUUAUCAUCAGUUUACUAUUAUUAUCAGUUUGCUAUCAGUUUGUUAUCAGUCUUUUGUACUAAAUGCCUCAAGAUCAAUAAAGAGUAUUACUAUUAUUAUUAUGUCUUGUGUGUCUCUACUUUAUUUUUGUGCAAGAAAGCAGAAAACAAGUAUGGGGGAGAUCCCUUAACAUGCCAAACACACUCCGACUACACCACUCCACGAUUCAGGUACACACUCUGCACACUUUACUUCAUACAUACAUUUAUUUUGGAUUAUGCAGAUUACUGUUUCCGACAUGAUAAAAUAAAAAGAUUAAAAUAUUUCUAAUCAUGAUUAAUCUCAAUCUGUGAUAUUUCCUGAAAACUUGCAAUUAUUAUAAAAUCAUUUUAAAACCCUGUGUUACUCAAGUCAAUAUGGAAUAUGUGAUGGUAGAGUAUGAGUUUCUUAUUCUUGAUAUCAUUGUUGCUUGGAGAAUUUAUUUCAAAAUAUUCAAAAUUCUAGCUACCAUCCUCAGUGUUUUAUAUGCCUGAUAAAAAUAAAAAUAUUAAUGAUGAUUAUAAAGCUAUCUACUCUGUAUUGAGUUUGUUCAAAAUGAGUUAGACCCUUGUUGAGAGAUUUAUCAUGCUCCUAAGAUCAAGGCAUUAUUUCAGAAAGAUUCACUCUUCCGAAGUAUUAUUGCAUUAGAGGCAUGGGCUAUGCAAAAAUAAAAAUAUUUCGAGGAAAUAAAAAGGAGCAAGUGCUCGACAACCUCGCAGAAAAAAUGGACAAGUGUCUGGCAGUAGAAUUAGGGGUACCUCGGUAUCCACUUAAAAAAAUAAAAAAAAUGAUGAAAUGAAAAUGAUAGCCCAUGGUCCCUCUAAUAAGCAAUAUGCCAGCAAGAGUUGACAAAGAUUUUAAUUUCCAAAGUCUUUGAUCUAAGAGUAUGACAUUCCCCUCCUCGGAUCCCGUUUUGAUCAGGCAAUAAAUGCAAAGUAAGAAUGCUUGAGAAUUUUUGCAAAAAUAAAACAACCUCAGUGAGAUAUAUAUAUAAAAGAUAAUGAGUGAUCUGAGAGAACCUAUGAGGAUAAAAAGGUAUGCUAACUUUCUUUCAAAAAUAUAACAAAAACUCCAAGUGACAGGAUUGAGAAGAAAGGAUCUUUACUCUUAACCAUAAACAUCCCUGACUAUGGUACACAGUGGAAUUUUAACACCCUACAAUUAUAUAAAGAGAAUGUUUUAAAUGUUUUACCCCAGAUAUUUUUCUUAACCAUCCUUUUCUCGAGGACGAGUAAAAGCCUAAGUAUGGGGGUAUUUGUUGACGGUUCUUAAGUAUCAAUUUUAAUUAUCAAAUAAACAAGAGAAAGGACCAAUAUGCAAACAACACCUAGAAUUAGGGUUUGAUCUAACAGAAUUCCACGAGUUUUGUUGUUUAUCUGUUUCUGCAGGGGGUUAUCAGGAAAUAAGGAAGAAAGGCCUACAUGUCGGGAUUACAUAGAGAUAUCAACGCACCGCGCAAUUUUACAUCAUCUAGAAGACUCCAGAAGCCACGAGACCGAAGCGGAGGCAAAACUGGGCCAGGCCCAGGGCGCCCGCCCUGGUAGCCUGGGCGCCCGCCCCCCUGCUGGAGCCAAAUCAGGACUCUUUCGUUCGGGAUAUUCCACCGACCUAUUGGAUCAAGAAAAACAUAGUACCACCUCGGCUAUCGACCCAAAAACGCAUAGAAGGGGAGGACUAUAUAAGCAAGGCCCCCCUGGCCCCUGGAGAAAACAUGAAGAAAUUAUCAUAGAGACUGAGGGGGCCCUCGAAGAAAAACCUCUUCUCUAAUUAAUAUUUCUUUUUAGGCUUAGCAAUCAAUGUAAGGUAGAAAUAGAUCUUCUAGUUUCUACUAGAUUGAGAGAGAUAGAGUGGAGGUGUAGAGUGGAGGAAGCCCGACCUGUCGGUGUCUACUCCAAGCUUGUACCUGCGGGAUCAAGUUCUCCUAACCCGAAGCUUGCUCCUAGGAUUCUUCAGUAAUUCGACUUCUAAAUUCUAGUAAGUUCUUGUUUUAUUAUUCUUAUAGUUUAUGAGUUUACUUUAAUCUCUUCGCGUAGAGUUUAGAGUAAUCAUUGCUGGCGUAAACGUGGUGUUUAGGCUGGGGUACUCAUAGAUAUUCCCUGACUAGCUGGACCGUGGUAGUAGUGAGGAACGUGACAAUUCCGAGCUACCUUUGUAGAUCACAUCUCGUUAGCAGGAAGGAUAGGGUUUAUAGGUGCGGGUCGAACAUCCUUUGUGGUGUCUAGAUUCCGUUAGCCUCCCCAUUAGAACAGUAGAUCAUCCUUACCAAGGUUAGAAAGAGACUACGGUUGCAGUCUUCUCUAUUUAUCACUCACAUCGAAAGACAUUCUUUGUGCCUAAAGGUUAGUAGUAAUAGACCGGUUAGUCAGAUGCACUCUUUCUCCUAGUGGUAAAAAAAUAAAUACGAUACUCUGGAUAAUUUCCCGGGUGAAGUGCUCACCGAUAUCCGAGCGCUUGCGGAUCAAUUCCUUAUUGCGUUCCCAAAUAUCAACACUGAGCACCCUUGGGACUUAGUGUCCAUGCUUGGGGAGUGCUAGUAAAGCCUCUAAAUCACAUAUACUUGAUAGUGAUCAUCCGAUUGUGUGAGUGAGCGAUUCUAGUGCGUUGCAUUGAGAGAUUGCAUCGAGUGGCACUAGGUGUUCGUGUUGCAAGCCGGUGGUGCUUGUUACUCUUGGAGGUUGCCACCUCCUAGACGGCUUGGUGGCUUGUGACUCCGUCGAAGCACGCAAGGAGAUUGUGCGGUGCUCCGGAGAAGAGAUUGUGAGGGGUACGGUGCUCACCCCGUGGGGAUCGCGAAGAGCAACUCUAUUGGAUCGUGCGUGUCAUUGAGCUACCUCACUUGUGGGUAGGUUCUUGCGGUGUCCUAGUGGGGACGAGGUUCGUGUAACACCUCUUAGCCGCCGAACCACCAAGUGUUGGUCGACACAACGGGGACGUAGCUUGGUGGCAACCAAGUGAACCUCGGGAGAAAAUCUUCGUGUCAACAUUGUUCUUCCCGUUGGUUUGCAAGUCCCUAACACAAGCUUGUUCUUACAUUCAUACUUAUGCUUGUGUAGUUGCUCUUGUAAUUAGUUAGCUUCUGUAGCUUGCUAGUUAUCUUCUUGCUUGUGUAGCUAGAAGUAUCUCCCUUGCGUGACUAAUUUGGUUUGUGUAACCUUGUUAGUCACAUUGCUUAGUUUGUGUAGCUAAGUAAGUUGCGCUCUCUAAUUUGGCAUUAGUUGCCUUGUUAUUGAGCUUGCUAGUGAGCUUAGGCUUUGUGCGCUUUGCCUCACUAGUUUGUGUAGGAGCUCCCCCGGUUUGCAAAGUACUAGUUGCAUAGGUUUGUGUGACCUUGCUCCUAGAAUUGAUUAGGUGAGCUCUUGCUAAGGUAGCACCUUGCUUGCUUGUUUAGGAUCUUUUCAAGGUGCUAGAGAACUUAGAUAGAGGGGUGUAGUCUUGGCUAGACCGAUAGUUUUAUUUCCGCAUUUGUUUCGGUUAGCCGGCGCGAUAAGUUUUAGAAAGGACUAUUCACCCCCCCUCUAGUCCGCCAUCUCGACCCUUCAAGUGGUAUCAGAGCUAGGUCUCUCAUUUGUGGUCUUCACCGACCCGAGAGGAUGGCGUCUAGUGGGAUAGAUGAUUGUGAGACACACAUUUUUGAUGGUACAAACUUUGCACUUUGGAAAAAUCACAUGCUUGAUCAUUUUCGUGCAAAGGGACCUAAAUUUUGGUGGAUUGUCACUAAUGGUCUCACACACAACUUGGACCAUAAGAAUCUCACCAAAGCUCAAAAGGUUCUCUUUGAACUUGAUUGCGAAGCUUAUUGUUAUCUAAUGAAAUCUUUGAGCUUUGAGUUGUUUGAUAGGAUAAACUCCAAACGAAUCGCAUAUGAAAUGUGGGAGUCUAUCAAACACACCUUCGGUGAUUCCUCCACAUGGGAUGAUGGCAAGUUCAAAAAGGAGGAACCAAAGGUGGAGAUACAUGAGGAUGUUGAGCAUGACCACAACAAGGUGGUUGUGGAGGAUUGCUCCACCUCAUGGUCAAGUGAAGAUGAAGAUGAUGGCUAUGAGAGUGAUGCUUCUACAAGCUCAUCCACUUCAUCACAUUCCUCCAUGUCUCACGGCGACGGCAAGGUAUCUAUUGGAGGUGUGAUUGUUGAUUGUGAUGAUCCAAAUUUUGAGCUUGUAUGUAGACUCACCAAAGCUUUAAGAAAUGAGAUGGAUAAAACAAGUAAAUUGAAAAAUGAAAACUCAUUUCUAAAGACCACAUGUGAACAACAAAAGCAUCUACUUUAUGUUACUACUUGUUCAUAUGAGGAGCUAAAAUUGAUUCAUGAGGAACUUUGUGUUACUCAUGAUAACUUGGUAAAAGAUCAUGCUUUUCUCACUAAGAAGAUUUCUAAUGAAGAAAUUAAAACUAGUGAGAGCUCAUCAUUUGGGUCAAAUGAUCAAUCAUAUGAUAUUACUAACCCUUGUGAUGUAGGCAAGAAGCAUGUAUCCACCUCUUGUGAUGAUUUAUUAUCUACGCCAUGUUCUUCACAAUUAGAUAUUUGUUCUACUUCCAUGUCUUGUGAGACUAACCUUUUGAAGGAGAACGAUAAGCUCAAAAAUGAAGUGAAGAAUUUGAACAACAAGCUAGAGAGGUGCUACUACUCAAAAGUCACCUUUGAGAACAUAUUGAAGACUCAAAGAAAUUAUGGUGACAAAUGUGGCCUUGGCUUCAAGAAAAAGAUGACAAAGGGCGAAAGAAAGCAAGAAAAAAGGAUGAAGAAGCUACUUCAAAAGAAGCUUUCUCACACCAUGUGCUAUCGGUGCCAUGAAGCGGGACACCUUGCAAAUGGUUGUCCAAACAUUGAGAAGCUCAAGAAGAUGAAGGAAGAAGAGAGGCUAAAACAUGUCAAGUGCUUCAAGUGCCGCACUUGGGGUCAUCUUACCUCAAUGUGCCCAACCAAGCAAUUGGUGAAGCAACAAACAAAGCCUCAACCAAAGCCACAAGUUGAGCAAGAAAAGAAGCCCCAAGCUCAAAUCAAGAUCUACCAUGAAGAUGGUGGUGACAUGGGGAUGAUGAAGAAGAAGACAAGAAGGGGAGGUAGACAAUCAAGAUCAUCAAAAGACCUCUCCCACAUCAUGUGUUUUGAGUGCAAGAAUGAUGGACACUUUGCCUCGAAGUGUCCUACCAAGCUUGAGAAGAAGGCUCAAGCAACUCUCAAGAGGCAAGGAAAUGAGAAGCAACACAUGAGCAAGGAAGAAAAGGCUCAAUCAAAGCGAAGUUGCUACUUAUGCCGGGAAAUGGGACACAUGGCUCAUUCAUGUCCCCUAGGUAAUAGUUCUAAGCCUAUUUCAAUUGAUAACCAUAAUAUGCUUAGAAAGGAUGGUAAUGGUACCUCUAUGGUUGCUAUUGCAAAACAUCCCGCUACUCAUACUAAGGCAUCGCCUAAGUAUGUUGCACCAAACUUGAGAGGACCCAAACUAGUUUGGGUACCAUCAAAAAGUGGAUGAUUAUUUGUAGAUACCAUAGGCAUUGGAGACUUGAUUCAAUUGAUCUUAUAUUAUUCAUCAUAUGAUUCAGUCAAGCAUUGAAGCUUAGUGCUUAUCUCAUCCCAAUGCCAAGUCAAAUAAGUGAAGUCCAAGUGCUACAAUUACAAGUGCAAAUAAUCAAGUUGUGGUAUUUUAUUGGAUUAUUUGAUGGCUUGCAAAUACAUGAGUUGAAGCUUGCAAAUUAGAUGAUCAUGAGCUAACCAAGGUAUAUCUUUGUUGAUCACAUUCGUUUGGGUGCAAAUGAGUUGAUUGAAUUGGAUAUAUAUGCAAUGUUGCUUGCUAUAAGAUGAUUGAAUGGAUAAAAUGCUUAGUAAUCAAGUUUGGAUUGAUUUGGGUUGGAUAAGUUCAUGAGAUGACUUUUAGUAAGUGGAUUGAAUUGAUAUAUGUCUUGUGAAUGCAUUCAAUCAAGUUGAUUUCAAUUUUGAUUCAAUUUGAAAAAGUAUAGCUCAAUUGCUUGAAAUCUGUCCAACAUUGAGAAUCUGAGCUAGCUGAGAUCAAGUCUGCUUUUGAGUGAUCAAAUCUUAUUGAAAUGGCUUGAAAUUUGGUGUGCAUGCUGUACACUUAUGAUAGAAAGUGCUGUAGAAAUUUCAUGGAAAUUGGAUAAAGAAUACUUCAGUUUUGGAGUGGAUCUUAUCAGCUAUUAUGCAGCAGUUUUCAGCAUGUACAGUGGUGGAAGAAUUGAAAUCUGGUAGCAAUCUAGAAGUCAAAUAAAUCUCCAAUUUUUACAGCUGCUAGAUGACUCAGUAAAGCACAUCUCCACCAAAUUUAGUAGUAUUUGGAUCUGUACAUUGUGAGAUAUAAGUUAUUCUUUGAAAGGUACAGAAUCUGCCAGAAAAGUGAUAAUUAUUGGAUUGAUCUAGAGUCACUUCAAUUGAAAGGUGUUCAAGUUGGGAAUAUGAUUAUAAGUAUUUGAGGCACCUGAGUUUGGUUUUGAAUUGAUCUAGAAGCAUGACAAGUAAUGAGUACGAGGUCAUUUGAUUGCGGAAUGUACUUGGUGUACACAUUCAGUACUCAAAUUGAAGAUCAAGAUCAAACUCAAGAUGAAGUUGAAGUUUAAGUUCUAGUGACUAUUGGAGAUCAUUUGGUAGAAAGAAAAGGACUUAAACAAGUAGAAAGAAAAGGACUUAAAGAAGGUUUCAUGGUUACUCAUCAUAUUAAGUCCAUCACUUGAAUCAAUCAAUCGAAGGCAACUCAAGUGAGUGUCAAGAAUGGUUCUUUGGAGAGAGGUCACUUCUCCCUAUGUGAGGGGCGUGCCGCCCGAGGAGUGGGUAAACCAAGUGUGGUGCUUGGAAGGCUAACAUGGAAGUGGUGAUCUAAAGGACAUUUGAGAUGCUUAGUUGAAGCAAUCAAAAGGAUUGAUCAAGAAAGCAAGCAACAACCCAAAAGAGAGCUAGUCAUGCUAUUCCAAGUGAUAUUCUUAGUAGUUCUCUCAUGCAAGCAAUGGUCAAAAGAAGAAGCAAGUCAACCACAACAAGAUAGUGCACUUGAUCAUAAAGUGGUUUUCAUUUCAUAUGGGUGAAGAUUUGAUCUAUCCAUUAGCAUUUAUAAUUGGUCUUCACCAAGCUUAUAGUUGGACUUCACAUUGCUAUUUGGAGCUAAAUUGGAAUCUUAUUGACUAUCCUCUACUCCAAGAUAGCAAAGGUAUCAUUGUAAUGUGCAUGAUCAUUUCAUCCCUUACUAGUAUGCGGUUAGUGCAUAUAGUACAUGCUUAAUAGGAUCAUGCAUGACAAUUAAAAUGUUUUAAAUUCAUAGCCUACCACUAUUGCUUGAAUGAUUAGUUGAUCUAGUGGUAUGUAUAUGAGUUUGUUCAUGAGCUAGUGAACCCAAGUACUUGAUCUAUUUUGGAUUGUUAACAAGUGACAAGUACAACAUUGGCAAGAUAACCCUUAAUGUGAGGUAUGAAAAAGCUUGUCAUUGGUUCAAACCGGACUUGGAAGCUUAGGCAAAUUAACAUAGUUCAAGUCUACAAUUAGAAGCUCAUGAUGAUUAGAGUACAAAAACAAGACAACAAUGCAAAUGGAUAUCUAAACUCAAAUGUUUCCUCAAUUGGUAUCCUACAAUUGGUACUCAUGAUAGCAAAUGUUCAAGAAAACAAACAAGUGGUUCCAUACUAGAAGACCUUCAAUUGGAAGAAGGUUUCCAUAUGGUAUCGGACAAGAUCUUUCAAAUGAUAUGACAUUUAUACAUAUGGUGUCUAACAUACAAGAAGGUGGUUCCACAAGUGAUCCUCAACUUUAAGUGAUCAUCAAGCAAAGAAAGUUCCCUCACCAACAAGAUUGACAAGUGAACGACCCAUGCUAUGACAUAGGGGAGUGCCCCACCAAAUGGUAUCAAGGUCAAAGAUCCCAUGUGGUAUCUCAAGAGCAAUUCAAGUAAUGUCAUUCCAACACAUGGUGAUGUCCAUAAAAAAUGCAAGAUUCAAGCCUCAACCAUCUAUCCCAAUGCAAUCCUUUGUCACAAUGAGAUUCACACUUUUUCAAUUGGUAUCAAGUGAUUUAAUUGGUAUCACAUACCUUUUAUGGAAAUUGAUGACAAAGGGGGAGAAGUUGGAACAAAGAUAUGAUCAUGAGAGAAAAGUUGGAACAAAGAUAUGAUCAUGCGAGAAGUUGGAACAAAGAUAUGAUCAUGGGAUAAGUUGGACAACAAAAGAUAUAUUUCAAGGGGGAGAGAUCAAAGAUGGACAUGGACAAGGGAGCGACAUUAAAGGAAAAGAGUUGGAUCAAAAGUCUUGAACAUAAGAAGCACACAAGUAGGGGGAGCAAGCUCAUGAACAUUGAUUGUUUGCAUUUGAUAUGUGCAUAUUCAUGUGCUUACUAGCAUUGCAUAAGUUUUUAAAUUUAAUGUGCAUGCUUGUGUGGUGUAUGCUAGUUAUAGAACUUGAUUGAUGAUAUGAUAACUAGCAUGCAUAAGAUGGUAGCUAGACUUGUGUUUUCAAGUAAAGACUAGACCCUUACUUUUAAUGUUGAUCUCACGGGGUUUCUAGUGUUUUUGUUGUCUAGCUACACUUGGUGCUAAGGAUGGUGUACAUUGAAUGCUUCAAAUGAUAUCGAAUUUGGUAUCGAGCUACAAAGGUUUAUUCUAUACACCUUAGCACUUAGUAGGGUUUUAUGGUGCUUAUCCAAAUCUUGACAUAGAGCUUAAAUGUUGGAUAAGUAGCAUAAAAUCCAAAUCAAUUUAGCAAUUUACACUUGUGUGAAGUGCUAGCUUGAAAAAGCUUAAUUUCCAUAUCUUUGUAGAGUUGUCAUCAAUUACCAAAAAGGGGGAGAUUGAAAGGUCCUUGUUUGGUUUUGGUAAUUGAGUGACAACUUAGGUGGACUAAUAGUGUUUAUGUGAGAUACACAGGAGAUUAGUCCACAGGUGAUGAUGUGAUGAUGGAGGAGCUCAUUGCACAUGAGACAUGACAUGGAGUCAUGUGACCAAGGUGGAGAAGAUCAAGAUGAGGCUUGGCUUGAUGGACCGGUUGCAAGAGUGAAGGGCAAGUCGGAAGCUUUGAAGCGAGGGACCGCGUGUGACGGUGAAGCUUGAGCAAGACUUGGCGCCGAUGGACCGAGGCAAUGGUGAAGAGCAAGUGAGGUCAAGAUCGAUGAACCAAUAUGGUCACGUGAUGAUAUGAAGUGGAUCAUAUCAUUUGGUGAUUGGUUGGUGCAUGUGUUGCAUCAACAUCGGAGGAGAUGGAAUGGAAUGCGCAAGGCAAAGGUAUAACUUAGGGCAUUUCCAUUUCACCGGUCAUAGGUGUGUAGAGAAGUCUAUGACCGGAUUUAGGAUAGAUGGCCGUACUAUCAAGAGGGGCAAACUUGUUUGCAUAUCGGUCAUCUAGUGCCACUUGAGCGAUCUAACUUUGCAUACGUGUUAGGAUCGAGUGGCGUGGCAAGUUGAGAGGCUAACUCCUUUGGAAAAAUGUUUAUGAAAAUGCUAACACACUUGCACAUGGUGGUGUACACUUGGUGGUGUUGGCACAUUUGCAAAGGAGAAGGUGUUGAAGUUGAUUUUGUUCAACUUGGAGAAGAGAGAGAAGUCUUUCGGUGUUCUCUGGACAUUAGGAUGGCUUUUAGAUUGGAAUACUGCUUUGAUCCAUUUUGAUUUGGAUUGAGUAUUCAUAUAUAUUGGAUAGUACUCUAAGUAAGCUUUCCAAAAUGUCCAAGAUCAUCAAAUUUGGAGUUCGGAGCUAGAAGUUAGCAACCUAACAAGUUGAACUGCAGGCACAGGACGCUGAGAGUCCGGUGCGCACAGGACGAGUCCGGUGGCACAGGACGCUGAGAGUCUGGUGCGCACAGGACAGUCCGGUGUCACAGGACGCUGAGAGUCCGGUGCUGCUACAAGUUUGCGUUGCUCUCUGCGUGUGAGUCCGGUGCGCACAGGGCGCGUCCGGUGUGAAGCAGCAGAGCGUCCGGUGCUACUGUUCCAGAUGCGCGUGCGUGUGCUAGCCGUUGGCGGCAACGGUCAAGUUCAAACGGCCAGUGACACGUGGCUGUUUUUGGAGCACAGGACGCACUGUUCCAGCGUCCGGUGCUACCUACAGUGAGUCCGGUGCUCACGACUUUUGCCCAGUGAAGGAGCAACGGCUAGUUUAGCCCUUGGGGCUAUAAAUAGAAGUGGUGGCCGGCCUUGGCCGGUGCUGAGCACCCUUGGGACUUAGUGUCCAUGCUUGGGGAGUGCUAGUAAAGCCUCUAAAUCACAUAUACUUGAUAGUGAUCAUCCGAUUGUGUGAGUGAGCGAUUCUAGUGCGUUGCAUUGAGAGAUUGCAUCGAGUGGCACUAGGUGUUCGUGUUGCAAGCCGGUGGUGCUUGUUACUCUUGGAGGUUGCCACCUCCUAGACGGCUUGGUGGCUUGUGACUCCGUCGAAGCACGCAAGGAGAUUGUGCGGUGCUCCGGAGAAGAGAUUGUGAGGGGUACGGUGCUCACCCCGUGGGGAUCGCGAAGAGCAACUCUAUUGGAUCGUGCGUGUCAUUGAGCUACCUCACUUGUGGGUAGGUUCUUGCGGUGUCCUAGUGGGGACGAGGUUCGUGUAACACCUCUUAGCCGCCGAACCACCAAGUGUUGGUCGACACAACGGGGACGUAGCUUGGUGGCAACCAAGUGAACCUCGGGAGAAAAUCUUCGUGUCAACAUUGUUCUUCCCGUUGGUUUGCAAGUCCCUAACACAAGCUUGUUCUUACAUUCAUACUUAUGCUUGUGUAGUUGCUCUUGUAAUUAGUUAGCUUCUGUAGCUUGCUAGUUAUCUUCUUGCUUGUGUAGCUAGAAGUAUCUCCCUUGCGUGACUAAUUUGGUUUGUGUAACCUUGUUAGUCACAUUGCUUAGUUUGUGUAGCUAAGUAAGUUGCGCUCUCUAAUUUGGCAUUAGUUGCCUUGUUAUUGAGCUUGCUAGUGAGCUUAGGCUUUGUGCGCUUUGCCUCACUAGUUUGUGUAGGAGCUCCCCCGGUUUGCAAAGUACUAGUUGCAUAGGUUUGUGUGACCUUGCUCCUAGAAUUGAUUAGGUGAGCUCUUGCUAAGGUAGCACCUUGCUUGCUUGUUUAGGAUCUUUUCAAGGUGCUAGAGAACUUAGAUAGAGGGGUGUAGUCUUGGCUAGACCGAUAGUUUUAUUUCCGCAUUUGUUUCGGUUAGCCGGCGCGAUAAGUUUUAGAAAGGACUAUUCACCCCCCCCUCUAGUCCGCCAUCUCGACCCUUCAUCGACCUUCCUGUGGCAAGGUGGUCCUGCUACGUCGGCGUCUAGUUUCCCUUUUCUUUAUGGAACAAUUUAGCUUAUGCUUCCCUUUCGCACUUUGAUAUACUUUUGGCUUGUAAUAAUGGUACUAUUACUCUCAUUUAUGUAAUACGUUUGAACACUGUGUUUUGUACCAUUGAUGAUGUCGAUCCAUGUGUGUGAAUUUGAGAUCCUGGCGCACAAGUGAUUUGGCACCCGAAUGCUCUUUUACAUCCGGGUGUGACAGAAGUGGUAUCAAAGCCAUGUUGAUCGUAGGAUCACGCAGCCUAGUUAGAAACAGCCGUUUAGAAUGUCCCUUUUGGGUGGAAUACACCAUUGGAUCUAUUAACUACCUUACUAACUUGUCUCAUUAGACUUUAUCUAUUAGCCUUAUCUACUUACAUUUACUAACAGUUCCGUUUAUUCACUUACUUCCUGCAUUUAAUACCUUAUUAUUAUUUAUUACUUCCUGCUCCUCAUAUUGCAUUUAUAUUCUUGUUUUAAGUUUUAUUACUUAUUAUUUGAACCUUUCUUUUAUACCUUGUCUUUUAUUAUCAUUCUACUCAUAUUACCUUCUUGUUCCUUGUUUUUCAUUUAUUACUUGAAUUAAUGCUUUAUUUCUGCCUUGUCAAUAAUUUCAUUACCUUGUUUUACUUUAUACCUUCAUUGCUUGCCUUCAUGUCUUACCAUAAAUACCACCAAAAAUUCAUAUCUUACAUCCACUGUAUCAUCUUGAUUCAUUUUCAUUUCAUAUACACCAGUGCGUUCAUUUAUGCCAUUCAUAUCUUUAUCAUUGUCAUGAUCUAUUAAUCUUUUCCUGCAUGUCUAUGAUCUUAUGCAUUAGUAGAUGACUCGCCAUUUGACCUGCCGCAAGAGCGUCAUUCGUUUCCAUCCCGUUCAAGCUGUGGAGUUCCCGUUGACUGGUCGUGUUGAUAACAUCGAGUUCCAGCCCAGCCAGCAUCCUGAUGACGGUGCUAACCUCCAAGAUGCGGAACCCUAUGAAGGACAGCAACCACCCCAAGCUUUGGUGGUGCUUGGAAGGGCGCCUUGCUGGGUCGCUGGAGGAGAUGACCCCUUGGUGAUGACGAUUGUUGACAUUCGUUAAGUGCAAUAAGAAUAAGAAAAAUUCCGCAAGCGCACAGAACAUCAUCGUAGCAUUUUAUCGGGAGUAUUCCAGGUAUCAUUAUUUAUAUUUUACCACUGGGAAGCUAAGGUCAAAGAAUCUGAUAACUUACUAUCAUGCAUCUACUAAUUUAAUAAACCAACUAGACUAAAGUAGGGGUAAAUAAUAUAUGAUAGGUAAUAAUAUAAAGGUGAGAAUUCUAUGAUAAAUGCGUAGAUAGCCAUAGCGGGAGGACAACGGGAGAGACCUGGGUUCCUGUAUACUUCUCUAUUACUUCAGUUCUAUGAUAACAAAGAAUGAAUAGAUAUAGCCAUCACAUAUUAGCACUUUGGUACAUCAGAACACCAACCACAUAAAGAGAACUGGAAGGGGGCUGGGAAGCUCUGACUACGGUCCUACAAACACCGAUCCGAACGAGGUGGAAUACGUCGACCGUUAGGGCUGUCACUACCCUAGGCCUACCACAACAAUCCGCAGGACUGGGUGCUACCUCAGGUAACCUCUAGUAUAGACACCACGUCUAUACUAACGAUUACUACUCUAAUUACCAUGAAUAACUAGAGCACUCGAUGCGAACGGUGAUCCUAUGCCAAAAUAUAACAACUACACUACUCGAUAACAAUAAAGGCAUAAAAGUAAAUAGAGAAGAUAAAUAUAUUAAAGCAUAAGUCUUACAAUAAACUCUAAAGACUUCUCCAGAACCGAAGCGCAGCUCCGCUCUCCCUAACUCCCGACUAGAACUAAUCUACUACAUUGGAAUGUCUAGCCCUAAUUCUCUAUAGAGUUAAUGUUAUCCUUUGAGGGCACCUCUCAACUCUAUAAUGAUGUGUUCUCCUCUAGGGGCCAGGGGCCUUGCUUAUAUAGCCUCCUCCUUUGUGCCUUUUUGGUUCAGCAGGCGAUGUGGUACUAAACUUUCCACCAAAUCUCAUUAAAAUGCACAUAGGCCUUAAUGGACCAAAAUAUGAUUUGGGCCUAAUUAAUCCCGCAGCUCUUUUAUGUGGAGUCCUUCUUUUAUUAAUAUCUCUUGAUUCCGAACACCAAAUAUAGCAAAUAAUAUAUGUAUUUUGAUCAGCUCAACGAGAUCUUUGUAAUGGUAUACUCCAUUCUGUGAUUGGUGCUUGUACCAGGGCGAGCGCCCCGGCCCCAGGCCCGUCUCGGCUCCGCUUCGGUCGAGUUGCUUCUAGAGUCUUCCUGAUUAUGGAAAAUUACCGCACAUAUUAUUUCUCUAUGUAAACCCGACGUGUGGGCCUUUCCUUCGUAUUUCCUGAUAACCCCCUGCAGAAAUAGACAAACACCAAAACUCGUGGAAAUCUGUCAGAUGAAACCCUAAGUCUAGGUGUCGGUUGCAUUUGGAUCCUUUUUCAUGAUUAGUUGACGGUUAAAUGUGAGCAUUAAGGACCGUCAACAAGCUUCCCCAAGCUUAACCUUUGCUCGUCCUUAAGCAAAGAUGGACUCACGAGUUUCUGCAGUGGUUUCAUGCCUUAAAGGUACACAUGCGUUCAAACAAGAUCUCAUCUCUGGGUUAGGGUAAACUGUUAAGAUUUAAACUUACUCAUUUUACCUUCCACCAUGGGGCUUGCAACUGUCACUUAUGUCUUGAGCAGUUAAAAGAUAGAACGGUCUAGUCAAGCGUCAUGUCUCUUGUUCUUCGAUUAACUAUAGCUCUAGAGUUUUUGCAGAUUUUCAAAUAAAACUUAGAGAUUCCUUGUAUGACUCUCUCUAAUCUCUCUUUUGUGGUAUUUCUGGAUCCUUACCAAGGCAGUAAUAGUGUAAGCCUUCUCUCAAAAUAUGUGGUAUUUUUGGUAUGAGGCAUAGUGGUAUUGCCUUCUAUCUCACCCUACUCUAAUAAGGUUUUGAUAUCUAGAGCUCAUAGGUGGGAGACAGCUAAUACAUACUUACAAGACACUUAUUGCAUAGUCAAACCAAGGAUCCAAAAGAACAAGUCAAUAAGUCAAAUCAAGAUGUGCAUGUGUGGCGAAUGAAUGGUGAAAAUAAUGGUGAAAGUCUAAUUCUACUUUUGCUCUUUUGAGGGCGUACAUACCUUUCUUGCACUUGAGGCUUUUGAGGGGAAUGAGACGCUCUAUAUUUUAUUUUUCUUUUCUCUCAGGUGGGUAUCUUGUACCCCUAAUUCUACUGUCGGACACUUGUCCAUUUUUACCUCUCGUCUCACAUUUUCUUUUUUUUUUUUGAGGUUUCAGGCACUUGCCCCUUUUUAUUUCCUCGUAUUCACUUUUUUCAUAACACUCACCCUCCUAGAAUAAUGUAGCAAGUGGUAGUAACCAAAAUAUCUCGAGCAUUUAUUUCACGGGGAAUAACAGGGAUAGGAUAAUGUUUUUGGCUAUUCUCUCCUAGAUAGGAGUAGAAUAAUUUUGGGUGAAUCUGGAUAUGGAAAUGAGUGGAUGUAUGUGGAUGCGUACUUCUGGAGUAGAAGCAGCAUGUAUGAGUGAACGUGCAAGUGAAUCUUGAUUUUAACCGCAUGACAAGCUUCUAAGGGUCUACACAGCUUGACCGCACUCAAUGCUCAUAAGCAGUGAAAAGUAAAUGUAUGGUUCAUAGUCUAAUAAGGUUGUAUAUAUGGCUGUGGUAGGAUUUUAAACUCUCAUCAUAUAGGAACUCAUCAUGCAACAUUUUAAAGAUUUUCAAAGAUAAAAUUCUCCAGAAUUCUAGCAUCUCUAGGAACAAAUAAAUAGCAGCUCAACCUUCCCAUAUCGUAUCCGUUAACGACUUAGACUUUAGAUCUCAAGUACUCUUCCCACAAGUUCAGGUUUAGAGCAAAUCUUAAUUAAUAACAGUCAUGCCUUCUUGAGAGAGAUUUCAAUUUUGAGAACUAGUCAUGGCAGAGCAACUAUUCAUCAUUUCCAUAUGAGAGUUUAUCAUUGAUGUUC
Molecule: long non-coding RNA, 47589 nt
Filed under: Sorghum bicolor (sorghum)
Lineage: Eukaryota; Viridiplantae; Streptophyta; Magnoliopsida; Poales; Poaceae
Description: long non-coding RNA (SBIC_LNC001037)
Source: RNAcentral